UUUUUUUUUUUUGGUCUGAUCACUGUUCGCUGUUGUAAUUGAACUUUUUAUUGGGCAUGUAUAAUUAAACAAUUAAAUUCUAAUAUUCUAUGGUUGAUGCUUCAAAUUAUAAUGUUAAUGUUUUUUAAAAAAACAAGUGAUAAUUUAUUUUAAAUCCAUUUAAGUUACGGGGAGAGAGAUUCAAAUUUGGGUGCAGAACGUAGAAUACAUUCGCUCUAACCAACUCAACUAAGUCCAUGUCUACAUAUUAAUGUUCUUCUUAUGUGUUUUUUUUCCGUAAAAUAAGUCAUCGCCAAAAGCGAGACCUAAAUUUAGCAUAUUAACAAAUGGAAUGAUAUACAACUUGAGUUGAUUGACCACAGAUACUGUACACAACGACUUUCUUACUGAGAAAAAAAAAAAAAAAAGCAAAGCAUGAUAUUUGGCUCAUGUCUUUUCCACCACUACAGAGAGAGCCGCUCGCUUUCAGGAGCAUGAAACUCAAACCUGAAGUCAUUCCUCAAUUUUCAGUGACAAUGGGAAUUUGGAUGAUGAAAUAAGUCAAAUCAAGUUGAUUACAAUUUUCCCACGAAAACGCACAGAAUGAGAUAGCAUUACAAGGAUCCUGUUUACGAUCACCAGUGUGCUUCUAUGGCUUCUACAAAAUAUCUCUAAUCUUCUCCAACCUUCUGCUUAAAUUUUCUCACUUUCAACAAAAUUGUCUAGUUUUGGGGCUUGGAAGCAUUCCCAUUCAAAAAUUUGAUCAGCCACUGCUAUGCUUCAUAACCAUCAGCUACCAUAUCACACAGUCAAGUUAAGCCAGUUUAAGGUACAGCCUCGGUCACUGCUCAUCUAACUGCAAAAGCAAGCCAUUAGUCAAGUUUUUAUCUUUUCCCCGCACAUGAAAACAGCCAUAAUUACCAGCAACAAAGACGAAUGAAGUACUAGAUAAACUGAAAAUUUUCAUCACUGGGGAGGAGUUGAGUUUAUAGCCUCAGAAAUUAGCAUGGAUGGAAUAGUCACAAGGAACCAAAACACCAACUAUCACCCACCCCUCUUUCAAAAAAAAAAAAAGAAUUUGUCACAGAGCCUGAAAAACCUCAUAAAAAUAAUUGCUACGAAUGCCUUUUUUAUCAUUUUUGUAAACUGUAGUGUUGCUUACCUUUUCGUCCUUUCUGUCUUUUGCUCCGACAAGCUACACUUCCACAAUUACACUGAAAUGCCUCAAUAGGAUGUUCUAGAUCAUCAAAGUCAAUCCCAUAAUCCUGCAAAAGGAUUUUGCUGAUCAUUUUAUGAACACAGAAAUUCAAACUUUCCAAUAACUCAAUAUGGAACAGUUGGCAAAGCACUCAUAAUGGUACUGGAUGAAAUUGCAUGUAACUUUGCGGCACUGGACUAGAACAGGUGUAUUUCAUACAUAUAAUAAGUAGUACACAUACCAUUAUAAAAAAUGAAGACAAAUGAAAAACUUUCACUGUGUGACAUCCAAAAUAAACCCCAAUGGUAGGUCGUCUAAUGCUCAACUCUCCCACAACGCAAACUCAAAAAUUCUCAAACUUGCUAGUGGAACUUAGUAAGUUCCCAGUUGGGACCAACCUACUGUAAUCCCAAAAUCAAAGCCAUAUUCUUUUAUUUUCUUUUUCUCCAAUUGCCAAGAAGAGUUUCAAGUAGUAGAGAGAAAAGCAAGUUCACUCACCCACGUCAGCUCUUCAAAAUCACUCACUGUCCUGGUUGUAAAAAAGGCAAGCUGCAUACAAGGAGCACAAAGAAGAUACUCAGAGAUGCUUCUCAUUCACAAUGUAUAAUCACAAUCAAACAGAAAGCCUUCAAACUUUUGAAUGUGUAUACAUAGUGUGUAUACGUGUGUGUAAGAAUUCACAUAAGAAGCAACCAAACCCAUACAUGAUAAUAGUGACGGUCAGGAGUCUCCACUUGAACUGGGAUAUCAAUCAAAUUUGCAUCACAGCAUCUGGAAUUAUAAAGGAAAAAAUAAUAAAGAAAAUACAGGGAGCAAAAUGAUUUAAAAAAUUGACUAGAGUCAUAUGAUCUUUGUCUAGAUCAAUGAAUAUGACAAUUGCUCCUAAUAGUUAAUUCAAUGUAAGAGGUUCCACUUGUUUAUUUGACUCGGUAGGAAUGAGCAGACCACUUAUUAUGCCAAGAUUCCUCAGUUCUAAAUUAUAUCACCGAAAUUACCUGCAUAGGCAAGGAUUAAAAAUGCAGGUGUGUAUAUACCAUUUAUAUAUACACACAUAUAAAAAUGGGAAAUAUGACCUCCUUAACCUAAGACAAAGACAAAAAAGAAAAUGCAGACGCAUUGAAAUAUUACCUAUGAUUGAUAAAUCUUGCAACAUUUCCAUGAAAUGUUGCAUCAAGACAAAGUGCAUCCUCAUCCCUCAAAACCCGCUCUGAGCCCCAAUCCGCAUCUAGUGUUACAGGGUAGGUAUGCCUCUCAGCUCCACUGCUGUGCGUAUUUCGCUCAUAUAACUCUGUAUUGGUCAAUAUCUCCCCAACAUAUUCACACACAAAUGUCCCCUUCUGCAAGACCUCUAAUGUUCUGACACCCCAGCCUUUUCCUUCAGGAGUCAAGAACACCUGAAGCAUAUCAGAACAAGAUGUAUUUACUGGUUUAUUACAACUUACAAUGAUCUCCGUAAAACAAAUUCUAACAUCUAAAAUGGCAUAUUAUUAACAACGUAAUUAAAAAAGUACCAUUUCAUAAGGAUUAACAAUGAAAACAAAUUUAACAGAGCUACCAGUGUUCGUUGUUAAUAGCCAAUCAAUGGAUGCUUCAAGAAGAUAGUACAAGAUUAAAAGAGCAAUAAGUAUGGCAUUGCGCUAAUCUAGAAUUUAUAAGUAAAGAAAUGAAAACCCUGGUGAAAUAUUGUGCAGCUUCAGCUAGUAAUCAAUUAGCCAAAUAAGAUAUCCAAAUUGAAAGUUACUACCAAAAGGUACGAAGUCAAAAUAACCUGUAACUUGCAGGAAAUACCCCUUUGCACUACACGGUUUCCACACCACAAGUCGCAUCCACAUUUUCUCCAGCAUUCUUUAAUAAACUUUCUGAUGUGGUGACCUUUGCAUUUUUCAGGCAUGUACUCAUUCUUCAACCUCUCAUGGGGGCAGUCUUGACAAUAAAAAAAAUUUUGCUUAUCUGGUUCCCUCAUGCAAGCUGUUAGAAAGUCUUCUUUUAGCAGGCCUUGUUUUGUGUACACAAAAUCCCCACCGGUUUCUUGAGCGCAUGCACAUGGAAAUUCUGAUGAAAGACAAUCUCCUGAACAACCAAUGCAGCAGUCUUCAUCCGAAAUACGGGCCAGUGAGAUAUUCACAUUGGCAUGUUGGUAAACUAUAUUAUCCGGAAUAUAAUUGAACUUCGGGAGAGACUCAUUUCCAAUUUCAUCUGCCAAUGAUAUUUUCACUUUUUCGGUAGAUUUUGAUAUGUCAUCGAGAGAUUUAAUUGGCUUCUUUCCCUCACGAGUGAUACCAUUUAAAUCUACCUGAGAAUGUUCUAUUCUACAAGGUCCCUUACUUGGUCCUGAAACAUGGAGGGCAUCCCGACCACUUGUACCCACUUCGGAGGACGCCAAGGAUGUGACAGAGUUACCCCCAGUUGAACCCCCUGAUGAACCUGGAAGAGUUAGACAGUAGCAUGCUAGGUGGUCAGAAAAAAUCCAGUAGCAGCUAAGGCUUCAAUAGGAUGGACAAUUGGGUACACAUGGGAAAAAAGAUGUCAUCAUAUUUAUGGAGGCCCUGUUGUCUUUGUUUUGAUGCAUCUAACUAUAACUUUUACCAGACCAAAAAAAACUAGACCUUUUGGAAGCUCAUUGCAACCCAAGUGAGAAUGAGAAUAAAGGAACAGGUUUUGACAAUCUUGUAAUAGAUAAUAAUAUCAUGUAGUGGCAAGACAAAAUAUACCUGGACGUCUCAUUGGAGCUGGUUGUGCAGAAACUGGAACACAAUUUGUGGAUUCCUCUGUUUUUGGAAUCAGAAAGUCUUUCUUGUGAUUACCACGUGAGACUGCAGAUGAUGUGAGAUUCUUUCCUUUGUCACGGGACUGUUUGAGGGGAAUUUGAGAACUAGAUCCAGCUCUGCCGUCUCUUAAACAAGGUUCAGAAGACUCCAUGCUUGCCUGUCGGCUGACCAUUCUUGAAGGAAUUUCACUUUCUCCAUGAUCUUCGUCAUUAGCCAAAUGCAGUUUUUUAGUUGGUCUUUCAGACCCACCGUGCCCCGUAUCAACUUCUGUCUUAUCUUCUUCUCCCUAUUCCAGAAAAAGAUAAAAAAGGGUAAAGGGCAACCUCAACAAUUGCAUAUUUUAUUGCAACUAGUAUACGAGCUAAAAGAUAGUUACACUAGCUGUGCACUUGGUCCACUAGAGUUAGACAUCGUAUGUGACGGGACAACUCAUAUGUCCAGUAAAUAUAUGAUGUAACUUGUAAAGCAACUAGCAUGUCCCACCAAAAACAGAGGGAGGUUGGUUUUCAACGUGAAUUUUUUAAAUCAACUACAAUUGAAUUGAAAUUUUUGUUUAAUUCAUUUUCUAACAAUCUAAGCUUUUAAAUUCAAUGUGAUCUAACAUCAAAGUUAUAAUUAUAAAAGGUUCUCCAAUCCUCCAAUCUUCCAUCCCCAUUGCCAAAUGUCUUAAUUUACAAGAAAUAUGAUGAACUUGAAUUUAUUCUUCGUUUAUUCAGCAUGUAACCAUAAAUUAAACAUGGAGAAGAAUUUAAGUAGAUAUAUAUUAAUAACACAUUUCUUGAUAGCUUAAGUUUUUUAAGUCUCAUUGUUCCCAAUUUUAACCACUGUCAUUAGUAUAUAUAUUAAUCUUCCAGUUCCCAACAAAGGCAUAAAUUAAUAAAGUAAUUAAAAAAAUAACUGAAAUACCUUAUUAUCCUGAGACUCAAAAUAUGCAUCCACAAGAGUCCUGUAGUUGUCUUCUUCAAUAAGCUCCCAAUUUUUAUCAUACACAGCCAGCAAAUUCUUCAGAACUGGCUUGACCAAUCUAUCAGGAAUUCCCAAGGCCCUCGUCGCCUUAAAGGCUUUCAAAACUCUCGGGUUGUUGGUCAUGGCCGAUGCAAAAGUUGAUGAACACUUAAUCCGAUACUAAAUCAGCGGCCUCUUGUUCUUUAUGUUCCACACAGCACCUGCACCAAUUCUCGGGGCAUGUUAGAUAUAAAACUCAAAAGCACACAGCCCAUGAACUUUUUACUUGAACAAUAGUUUGGAUGCCUUACUAAUCUCGCUUCCUUUGUCCUGCAAUACUUCAAUGUUCAACAAAUACAAGUACUGUUUAUAAAAUGAAAAAUCAUCUUGAUCAAUCUACUAAAGGACUCAUAAAAUACAUAUUAAGAAAUAGGAGAAACUAAUCAUUUUUUUAUACGGUAGGAAUUCAACGAGUUUAUCAUGUCAAAAUUAGAUUGCUCAUCUUUGACACUAUUCUGAUUUGUGUUUUAUGUGUGAGCGGGUCAUGUUAUAUUUGUGUUCGUGCCAAGUAAUGUUCAACACAAAUUCACUGUCUUCGUAUCGGUUCGAAUCGUGCCAAAUAUGACAACUCCAAAUUCUAGCAUUAGUUUCUCGACCAGAAAAACGGAAAAUAAAAAUAAAAAUAACAAAAGAGCACACCCAACAAAUAUUUCCCACAAAAUUCAAAUAGUAAAUAAACAAUACAAGUGGAAACCCCACCCACAAUAAUAUCAUGACAGCAACACGAGACUCUGUUAGCCAGUGUAUAAAUAUAAUAUUCUGAUCAACCACCGUACUAAAAACAAUCAAUAUUAUUAAAAUACGGACAUAGGGGACGGAGCAUUUUAUUAUUAUUUUUUUUCGUUUUUUGCCAUGAAUGGUUCUGUUUGGCUGCCGAGAAAAUGUUGGAAAUCCCAAGUUUUUUCCUUUAGGUUUUCCACGCCAUAGACAAACCAAACAGCAAUUACGAGCAGUAUAAACCCACACUAACAAAAAGCUCCGCCUGGGUCGCUGAGAAAUGUAGGAGAAUAGAAACACCGAAGUUUGCUCUUAGCCGCGAACAUUCACACCGACGCACCAAACGACAAGUAGAAGCAAAACCUUCAUCUUUUAGGUCUAACAGUAAACAAAUUUUCAAUUCAAAAAUGCAAGCUUUAAGCACCUAUACUUUUCAGCUUCUGACAUUGUUAACAAUAUUUUAGAGUUUCUCUGAGAGAGAGAGGGGUUCUAAAUAAAAAAUUAACACUUGAAAUUUAAUGUAAAAGAGAAAUGCUAUUUACCUUCUCCUCUUCUCUUCUGUAUUUGUAUUCUUUUUAAGAGUUAAAAAAGGGCUCCAUCUGCCAUGGUGGAAAACAGCGCUGAGAAAUAGUCUGGGGGGUCCCGUCUCCUCUGCAUUUCUCCUGAGUUCUUCUGAUAGAAAAUAAUAGUGCUAAUAAAGGCGGCGUAGCGUGGUGUGUGGUCCUUUUGAACGAUUUGGGGGGUUUAGGGCCCACGUUUACAUAGAGAGAGCCCCGACCUCGAGCAAGUAGUGCUUGCUAGCCUUUUGCUGCUACUUGCGGUUGCGGAGUUGGAACUCCUUUUCGUUUUUGGGUUUGAAUUUGGUGUUUAAAUACUCUUUUUAUGCCAUGGGUCUAGCCCAAUAAAAAAGGGCCUUCACUUGAAGAUCAAAUGUCUCAUGUUUGAAUUCUCACUGCUCAUAGUUAUGUGUGUGAGAUAAAUUCCCCUAUCUUGUAGUUUAGAAUAUCGCUUACAAUAAAAAAACUUUUUUUAUAAAAAACUAGCCUCUCUGCACGUCUGCACGGGCUUCCGCGCUUGCGAGAAGCUUUUUUUAUAAAAAAUUUAAAUUUAUUUAAGAAUUAAAAAAGAUAAUGGAUAGUUGUAUUCCAUAAAAAUAUGACAGUCCCGAUCUCUUGGACCACAGGAGUCCAAGAGAUUGUGGUCACCCACCGUUGGAUAUUAAUCUAAUGGUAUAAAAAAGUUUAUUAAAAUGAGUGCAAAAAUGAGUGAACCGUUGAAUUUACAUCCAACGGUGAGUGACCACAAAUUUCUUGGACCCCUGUGAUCCAAGAGAUCAGGACUAAAAAAUAUGAUCCAUUAUCUGAAUUUUCUUUUAAUUUCAAUUUUUUAAAUACGAAAAAAUUAUGAAUUUGCCAUAUUAUCCUUAUUUAAUUAAUAAUUUUAAUUCUUAAUGUUUGCAUUAAUCAAUGGCAUUUUCUGGUAUUUUAAAUGUUUCACAAUUUUCUGUCUUUUGUUUUAUAUAUAUAGAUAAAAAUAAUUAUCCAUAAUACUAUUAAAUUUUAGGAACGAUGCUUUAAGCAAAAACCUUCAAAUCUUGGUCUUGUAUUUUUUAACAUUAUAUUAACAUGUUCAAUGACUUUUAAACAUUUUGCCUUCGUAUUGGAUUGUAAAACUUUUGAAAUAUUUAUUAAAAUUUCAAUGCACUUGAAUUCAGUGUAGAUAGACUAUUGAAAAUUAUAAGAAAAUCAUGUGUCAAAAUUACAGAGAAUAAAACAAAGUGACAUAUCUCAACAAGGAGCAAUGUGAAUAACCAUAAGAACAUCUAUAAUCAUGCUCUCUAUUUUUUAGUUAAAAUUUAGCUAAAAAUACACAAAAGUUAUUUUAGGAGCUCUCUAAAAAAUUUGAACUCCAAUCCUACUCCCUAAUAGAGAGUCAUAAAUACUAAAGUUAUAUUUUAAUUCCAUAUGAUUGGUCCAUCUUUAUAAAAAAUAAUAAUAAUAAUAGUUAUCAUGAGUUAAAAGUUUAAAUUAUGCAUAAAACAAAGUAGCAUUCAAUUAUAGGGAGCCACUAUGAGUCGUUUCUCUCUCCUCAUAUUUAGGAGCUCCUAGAGAUCCCCUUAUUUUAGGAGAUGGAUAGAGAGCAAAUAUGAAGUUAUAUUUUUCCAAUUCCUCCCUAAAAUUUAUCUUCAAAUGUGAUUUAGGGAGCUCAUUGUGAAUGCUCUACGUGGACAAAUUAAGUAUAGAUAGAUAAAGGGAAGUAAAUCAGGUGUCAAAUUAGUGAGAAUAAAAUAAAAUAGCAAAUCUCAACAAGGUUGAUGAAGAAUAAAUAUAAGUGGUCAAAUCUAGCUUGAGGAAUAGUUUGGAAGAUUAAUAAAGUACUUGUCUAGAUGUGAGCAAUUGCAAUGAAUAAAUUAUCUGGCCCUAAGAUGUAGAGGGUCGGAGAUAGCAAAACAGUGCUAUCUUGGUUUCAAGUAAAAAAAAAUUCCUAAAAGAGGGUAGUGUUAUAAUAAUUAUGAGUUAUGAGUUAUGAGUCUUCAAAAAAGUUGUGACGAAUGCUAGAUACUUUCUCCUCUUGCAUCCCUUAUUUAGUUUGUUCAAUGUGUAUUCAACUCGCAAAUAAAUAUAUUUAUUUAAUGUGAUUCAAAACUUUUAAUUAUAUUACAAGAAAAAUAUUAGUAAUUUGCAUUGUGUACUUAAAUUUAUGUGUGAGCGAAAUAGUCAUGAGACAAAACUGAAUGAGGAAGACAAGAAGGGAAAGGCAAAAUGUAGCUAGCAUUGUUCUAAUACCGAUAACACAUUUAUAUGUAGUGAUUCUAAAAAUUAACAAUACAAUAUUAUUGUUAUAAAAAUAACCUGGAAUAUGUAUGAAUAUUGAGCUGCACGUAAAGUAAAUGAGACACAGCAUUUAACGAAGUUCGGCUAUGCCUACGUCCUCGGAGAGCAGCAGCAGUAACUUUUUCACUAUAUAAAAUAAUAGGGCUACAACUUUAGAGUUUACAAUAUGUGAGGCUCACUGAAUUUUCUCUCUCUUUCUUCUUCUCUCUUUUCUUUCUUCUUUUUCUCUUCUUUUCUUUCUUCUUUUCUCUUCUUCUUCUCUUCUCCCCUUUCUUUCUUUUCUCCGUUGGUCACACUCCCCUUUACAAUUGGUAUGCCUAUUUAUAGGCUAAUGUUUAGGCAAAAUACAGGGAAGGGAAGGUUCCUGGAAGAUGCAAGGAAACUUCCUGAAUUGAUAAAUACAGGGAAGGAAAGUUCCUGGAAGAUGCAAGGAAACUUCCUGAAUUGAUAAAUACAGGGAAGGGAAAGUUCCUGAAAGAUGCAAGGAAACUUCCUCUGUGGGCUCCACCUUCAAACUUUUACAACAAUUAUAUAAUUAUUGAAACAAUACUAUAUUUUGAUGAUGAAUAAUUAAUAAAUGGAAAAUGAGCCUUGCUUGAUAUCAUUGUUUAAACAAAUAUAAACUUUAACUAAACACAAGUUACAUGUAUGUUACAUUCACUUAGAAUCCCAUAAAAGAGAAUUGAGACAAAGAAAAAAUAUACAUUCAGCAAUUGAAAAGAUGAAUGCCUCUCAUCCUUUUCAAUCUCCCAAUGGCAAUUAAAUGAAAAAGCAAAAACAAAAUUAAAGAUCAAAUAAGAAAAUAAUAAACAUAAGGGGAGGGAGAGAGAAGACGCUCUUAGCCUCUAACCGAUUUCACACCCCUCUUCUAUUCCUCUAAUUCUACGCCCCAAUAUUCUCCAUCAAAUUCCAAUUCCAAGCGACCCAAUAAUGUUCAUACUCAGUCUUGACAGCUCCAAUUAACAAUCUGUGCAUCAUCUUUGGGCCGCUAAUCACAUCUCACCUCAGUUUUGACGGUAAAAUAAAACCAAAACCUUUGCGGCUUUGCAAAAGAUGUGAUGAACAUCAACGUCAAUAAAAUCAAUGUCGUUCACCACAAAAAAAGAAGGAAGAAAUAAAUAAGAUGUCGUUUUGACUGUCUACCGUAAGUACGAGGAGUCGUCGAAAGUCAUAUCAGAUGUGCCGAGAUGAACCUUGCCACUACUCUUCUUCUUAGGCUUCUUACCUCCGCCACCACAAGUAAUUGAAAGCUCGCAACCUAAUGCAAAGCACGAAAACAAACUUCUGCCGCCGCUACGGCUCCGGCGACUCUUCGGCGGUCGGUUGGUGAGCUGGUGAGACGACUGGAGCAACUUCGGAUGUUGACUAGUAUUGUUAUUGUUAUUGUUAUUGUUAUUGUUCUUGUUCUUGCAGUCGUACACUGGGGGCAGCUCUGUCCGCCACCUUUCGAUCUUUGUCUUUAACCCCUCCACGCUAUCCUGGUCCGUCCAUUCAUCCAACAACGAGUUCCUUGCAUCACCUUGUGCCGCGUGGCGCACCACAUUGCCUCCGACAUGGCCAAGUGGAUAUAUCCCCUUGGCUAUGGCGGCCGCCACCACGGAUGGCGAGGGCCCCACGUCAGAGCAAAUGGACCCACCCUUUCCCCCUUUCUGCGCAGAGCUAAGCUCAGAACCGUUCACAAUCGAGCUAUUGCAAAAUGAACCUUGAGGUUUAGUAGUUUUUGAGAAGCCCCCUGUAGCGGCAUUGCAAAUGGCGCUCGAGGCUUUGCUUUUGGAGAGCCCGUCGCAGACGGAGCUCGGGGGCCGGCUUUUCGAGAACCCGUAAUCGCUACCCGUUCGAUCGCUCUGGGAUCUUUGGAAGAUUAUGAAUUUGUCUUGAUCCUUGUAGUUGGGGUCGUGGUUCUUUUGAUUUGCCCCCUUUCCUUCCAUCAAAUCCCAAUACCCGACGGCAGAGGAGCUGAGCUCGCUGUAGAGCGGCAUGCUCCGCAUGGUGUUGUCAAGGAGGCCGAGGCCGAUGUUGAGAAUCCCCUGCGGCCUGCCGGAGGGGCGGCGCAACUGGAUCGCCAUGAAGCGCAUCUUGGACUUGUUCUGAAGGUUGUUCACCACCACGGCAGCCGUCCCGAUCAGCACGUCGCGGAGCCACGCGGAGGCGUAGAUCUCGAUCAUGAUCUUCGACGUGUCGUCCUUGAGGAACUCGUCGUCGACUCGGAAGACGAACUUCUCGUUCCACGUCGGGUUGGUGUGGCCGUUCUGGUCGACACGUGUCGUCAGCUUGCGUUGCGGGUUCACCCACGCGACGGCGAACGUCCGCAUGGAUUUGGACGCCGGGUAAAGAUCUUGCGCCGAAAUCAGAUUAAUCUCCAGGAGCUGGAACGACGAGGCUAAUGGGGGUCGUGGCAUGAUUUGUAAUUAAUUAAUGAAUAAUUAAUUGCUGCAGCAAUCACAAUAACAAUUAUAUUAAGAAAGUAAUUGCUGCGAGCAAUUAACUAAAAUAUUGCGAAUGGCAGGCUGUUUGGAUAAAAUAAUACUGAUUAACUAUUUUUAUGAAGAGGAUUAGGCACCCGGAAGAACGUACGUGGUCAAAAGACAACGACUGACCGGCAGACAGUCGUGACCGGCCGCCGGGGACGUACGUAUGAGUAGUAGGAAGAGAGGGAUGUGCUGCAGUGAGGAAUGGUUUGUGUGUGUGGAGACGAGAGGCUUUUAAUUGAAGGCGUGUUGUUAGGGAAGUUUGUUAAGGUCAACGGUUUUAGGACCGUAAUUUUCUGAACAAAAGCUAUAAUUAUAAAACUCAACACUCAUACGGGAAACAAGACAACAAAUAAACUAUCCGAAUGAUGCUGUUUUUCUCAAAUUUAGAGUCUUUAGAUCUGUUAACAAACUAUCCCAAUGAAUCCGAGUCACAGCGGGGGCAGCUUUCUGUUCACUGACUCUCUUUUGAUUAAGAAAUUAAUUAGAAACUUCUACACCUCAUCUCUGAUUAAUUAUAUAUAUGUAUAUAUAUGAUUAUUAGGUUGUUAAUUAUAAAUAAUUGUGUGAGAAAAACUGUUGUGCUUAAUACGAUUAAUUUAUGGCUCUCUAAACCAAAGCAAACCUCUGUUUAUGCUACCUACGUACGUAACCUGUAUAAUUCCAAAACAGGACACCUAAUUACACGAAAACGUUGAUUGCCCUGUUUUUCUUUUGGUAGCUGAUUUUUAAAGCAGUUGUUUGUAAGUUAUUGUAACCCUGUUAUUCUGGUGAAUAAAACUCACAAGUUCCCACCAAAGUUAGAUACAAGUAGGCAGGAAAAAGAAGAACAAACCCCAAAACACAAGCAAAAACCACAGAUUGAGAGAAAACUGCAAUCUCAUCUCUUUUAUCGGGAACCACUUUGCAUUGUCUUCAAACCCCAAAUGGAUUUAACCUUGAAACCAUUCUUUCUGUGUCUUGCAGCACUACUAUUGCUACUACUUUCUCUACUAUCUUCUGCAAACCCAAUUAAUUCUGACUACAAUACCUUGGUAUACAACCAAUGCGCAAAUCAGACAUUUACUACUCCUCCAACACAACAAACCCUUUCAUCCCUUUUCCAAGAACUAAUUGCACACUCCUCCCAAUCAAAGUUCUUCAAACACACCCAAGCCACCGGUGACGAUGAUGAGACUCAGACGGGCAUUUCCGGUCUCUUCCAAUGCAUACAGGACAUCAGCAACGAAGAGUGUCAGAGCUGCGUUUCCACUCUACCUGAUCUAUCAAACACCUUAUGUAGAGAGUCUGUAUCGGCUCGGGUUCAGCUACAUGGCUGCUACAUGCAUUAUGAGCUCGAUGGGUACGAUUCAGAGUCUUCAAAUCAUAAAUUAAUGCACCAGACCUGUGGGGAGUUAUCAAAUGGGUUGGCUGGUGGGUUCGAGGAGAUGAGAGACGCAGCAUUUGCAGCUCUGGAAAGUGGUAUUGUGAUGAAUGGUGAUGGGUUCUACAAAACGAGCUAUGAAGCCGUACAAGUAAUGGCACAGUGUGUGGGGGGCUUGGGGACCUGUGAAUGUGGACUGUGUGUAAGCAGUGCAGUUCAAAUUGCUGAAGCAGAAUGUGGUGCUGCUCUUUCAGGUCAAAUUUAUUUGGAAGAGUGCUUCUUGAGCUAUACUUACCAUCCAGAUGAAAUACUUGACCACCCGCAUCCAGGUAAUUAAAUUUCAAAAUUAGUUCUGAUCUAGAUACUUCCGUUCUUUCUCAACAUACCAAUAAUAAAACGUAUCAAUAUGCUACCGACGACGUAACGUGCGCAUAAAUUUUUUGAAUUCAUUAUGCCUUUUUCUUUUUGACAAAUGUUUUAUGUUUUUUAGAUGGGUUGUGUUAUCAAACUUGUCAAUUUUUCAAAAUUAUGUUCAUGACUUUUCCUUGAAUAUCAUUCAGUUUGCUAAUGUGAGGUAUAUAUACAUAUUUUUAAAUAACAGAAAAAAGAAGAGACAGAAAUGGAAGCAAUGGGAAAUCGGUGGCAAUUGUUGUGGGAGGAGCAGCAGCUUUGUGUCUGGGGUUCGUUUUUCUGUUGUUCGUCAAGUCUUGGUCAAAGAAAGAAGAUGACUAAAAUUCAAUUGAUUAUUACAAAACAAAGUUUAUUUAUUUAUAUUUUAUAGAACGUUUUAAAGUCACGGACUCGGGUGCCCAUAUUACAGGUCCAGGCCCAGGCCCAGGCCACGGGCUUUAUCAAUGAAUGAUAUUAUUCAGUACAAAAAAUAAAACAAAAAGAAGUGAAAAUCUCUCUUCUUCUGGUGUGUAAAAAGCAGAGCAGAUCUAACGUAUAUGUAACAUAUGUUUACAGAAUAUAAGAAACAAACUAUCUAGGGUUAUUUAAUCAUCUAGAAUAGUAAAAAUUUAACACAACAACAACUGAAUUUGGAGCACUUAAAAAAGAACAUAUCAUUAAAAUUUAACUUAGAGUUUGUAUUUAUUUACUAAAGAGCGGUUUCAUUACGUUACGAGUUUGUUCAACUAUACACGAUAGAUUUAAGUGUAGUCAAUACUGUUAUUUUGAUACCAUAAUAUGCAACCACAUAUAGACGUCAUAUAUAGAUAUAUAGAGCGCUUUCGUUGAGGGAUUCUUCAAAUAAGCUUAUUUGAGAUACACUUUUGUAGGACCCACUCAGCCUUGUACUUCACUAAUCCAAACCGUCUAUUUUGUAGAUAUUUAUUUAAAGAUCAUAUCUACGAAAAAAACCACUUGAAUCUAAUAUCAUUUGACCAUUCAAUAACAUGUUUGGAAUUUAAGUACUUUCUUGAAGCAUCAUAUUCAUUGAUUUUAUUGGUCUCAAUUAGCUGUCUUAAUGAUCUUCAAUUUGUUUGAUUUUUGUAAGAAUGAUCUAUGAAUGAAGACUUGAAAAAUUAAUUGUUUGGGUUGGAAAAAAGAAGAAGGUAAAGUACCAUAAAAAGUGUUCUUUAAAUAAAAUAAUUUAAAAUAUAAGCUUCGUAAAUACUUGCGGCGAGUGUGAUAUUUACCGUAAAAGAUAUAAACGCUAAAUACUUUAGUUUUCUAUAAAUAGCCCAAAAUGUAUUGAAACAAUGGAGUGAUGAACCAAUUUAUCUCAUCCUCGUAGUAAACUUCCAAAUCACAAAUGUCAAAACAAUAUAACCAAAUUAGUGUAACCUAUUAAGCACGUAUGGAAAUUGUCUUUCCACUAAUGUAAAUAAUAAUAAUUUACAUUCUAUUGCAAAUUAACCAAUCGAUCCUCAUUUUCCUAUUAUGACGUGACAGCCCUAUUAAUAAAUUUGCAUGAAUCAUCCGUUGAAAUAACAAAACCAGAAACCCUAGAUCAUGAAAUUACAGAAAAUUGGGUGACCAAAACAAAAAAGGAAAUACCCAAGUAGGGGUGUAUGUGUAGCCACCCGGCUUCUCGAGCUCGUUGCCUCAUUAAAUUCUUUUUGUAUUUUUGCUUUUUGGGAAAUCAACCAUUUCCUCAUUCAAUUCAAACGAGUUCAAACAGCAUAUAUAUACUACACGGGGCGAGAAGAGAGACACAGAGAGAGAGGCAGAAGGAAGAGCAAAGACAAAGGCUCUGCAUUUUCUCACCUCACGUAGCCACGUGCGUUCCCCCUAUUCUGGUAAGUCGCUUCUGUUUCCCUUCUCUUCCUACCCCUCCUCCUUCUUCUUAGGCUUUGCAGAGUGUUGUACAAACGACACCGUAUCGGUCGAGAAUACCAAGUAUUGCUGUGGUUACGCGGCGUGCUCAAAAUAGCGUGAAGCUUUGAUUAUUUUUCUAUUUGCGGAGAUAGUAAUUUUGUUUUGGUUUGCCCAUAUAGAAAAUCUAGGUAUUAUUAUUAUUGUAACUUGAAAUGUGGGCUUAAUUUACUUAACCAAAAUCAUUUCGAGAACUUUGAAUUCUGCCCUAUGUCUGCUCUUACUUGAAUAGCGAGCUUGGAUUCUUAUUAGCCAUUUAUCACACAGAGGGACCGAAUUUGAGAAAAUCGUACGGAUGAAGCUUUCACAUGAACUUCUAAAGCCAUUUUGAUCCUCAAUUACUAGUUGAAGUAUACCAUAUCAAAGCUUUUUUUUUUGGGGGUUUAGGGUCACAGUAAAUUGGAGUUUGUUACUAUUGAAUGAAAUGCUCUGUUCAUUGUUUGAGACUUUUUAGGUACUGAUUUUAAGGCUUACUUGUCAUUUUGAUGUGCAUUGAUAUUGUUGGGCAGGUAAUGGAGGAAAGCCACAAGCAAGUGGAGGAAAGCCACGAGCAAGUGGAGGAUAUUGAUAGUGCUUCUAAUGGCAGUGAGAGCGAUUCUUUUAUAGAUGACUCAGAAGUUGAUGAAGUUUCGACAUCCGGACAAGACGACAAAUUGCAUCCAGAGGCAAGUUCUUACUCAUGAUAGGUUUUUUUUUUGGCUGGAAUAUGAAGCAUUUUUCCUUUCUGUUUUAAAUAUAUGAUGUUCUUAUCUUUGUUAUGCAGGAACCUUUAUCUGAUAAAGAAAUUGAGGAGCUUAUUGCUGAGUUUUUGGAGGUUGAGAGUAAGGUAUCAAUGUUUUCUUUUCUUUUUAACAGUAUUUCAACUAUGCACACAGAUAUACGUAUAUAGUUUUUAUGUCCAUGCUGAGUAAUUUAUUGGUUUUUUAUUUGAUGCCCAAUUUAGGCUGCGGAAGCUCAAGAAGCACUUGAAAAAGAGUCUCUUGUCAAAGUGGAGAGUGAAGUUAGAGAAGAGUUGGCACAAACUCUUCAUGGGGAUGAUGUUAGUUUCUUCCUUCAAAAUUCAUCCCUGUGGACUAGAUUGUCUUUACCAAUAACUUAUAUAUUUCCACCUGUCUAUAGCUGGAAACAGCUGUUGCAGAUGAAAUGACUAUUUUAAUGGAAGAGUGGCAAGCUGAGCUCGAUGACCUUGAGACUGAGAGUGCUCAUUUGUUGGUCUGCUCCUUUCUUCAAUUCUGAGUAAAUCUUUGGUUCCUAAUACAUUUUUAGCUUGCAUGUACUUUGAUGCUAUAAAUUUAUACAGAAAAUAAAAACCCGCUUAGUAAGAAGGAUUUGCCUCUUCUUGUUACUUAUCCAAGUGGGAUAUAAUUUCAGCUAGCCUUCCCACAAUUUUAAUUUCUAUGUCGAUUCACUUUGAAGAAAGUAUCAUUUCCUCUUUUCCAUUUUUUCUGGAUUUCAUAUUGCUCUCUGCAUAUCUUGACUCUUGUCUCAUUGUUUUUCUAUGAUUAUAACUUAUAGGGUAUAGUGGGUAAAGGGUGACAGCAUGUACCAUUUUAAAAGCUUUGUUUAUAUUUUGGGUUUGCUAAAGAAAAUUUAGAGGUUCUAACUUCAUGGGAUAUUAACUAAAGUUGUUUAUGAAGUUUUUUGCAAAUGUCUAUUUACUGACAAGAAUUUGUAUGUCCCUUACCAGUAAUCGUGAUAAACCUUUUAAUUUGAAAUAGAUUGAUACUUGCUUAAUUUGUGAAAUAUGGAACCUGAAAUUACGUCUACCUAUUUUAAAUUCCACGAAAGGAACAACUUGAUGGGGCUGGCAUUGAGCUACCAAGCCUUUAUAAGUGCAUUGAAAGUCAGGCUCCUAAUGGUUGCUGCACUGAAGCUUGGAAAAGGCGGAUACACUGGGUAGGAUCUCAAGUGACUGGAGAAUUUACUGAGUCAAGGACCGAUGCAGAGAAGUAUCUCCAAGCCCACAGACCUGUAAGAAGGUACAGUUCUACAUUUUUAGCUUUGUUGAUUCUGCAAGGUAUAGAGUUGAUGGCACAUAAACUUGCACUUUUGAACUUAGGCGACAUGGUAAACAAUUGGAAGAUGGCGCUAGUGGAUUUCUGCAGAAAAAGCUAACCAUAGAUGGAAACAAGGAUGCUGUGACUGCUGAGGUUGAUUGGUGUUCUCUCAACAAACUAUUUUCUGAUGGUGCAACUGGGGAUGGUGCUUCAUUCGGCAGUAAGCACUGGGCUUCUGUUUACUUGGCCAGUACGCCACAACAAGCUGCUGAGAUGGGACUCAAAUUCCCUGGGGUGAAUGAGGUGCCUAACUUUUUCAUUAACAUAAUUAUGGAAUUUCUGCUUGCUACCUAAAGCUAAUCUGGAAAAUAAGUUAUAAGAAAAGGAAAAGAGCAAACAAGAGGGAAUCGUAUUAGGUAAAGGAGGCUCUAUUUCAUGUAGUUUUAUCAUUACACUCAACAUGACAGCCAUUGUUUGUAGGUGCUGUGCUUGUUCUGCUUUCCUUUUCCCCUCUUUUUGAAUGAUCAUUCAUGGAGGUUUCCUAUUGUAAUUUAGAUCUGAAGCUUCUUAUAUGUUGGGGUGAUUGUUUGGUUUUGGGCGUUCUUAUGGGUUUCAGCAUCUUUGGAGGUUAAGGGUAGUUACUUUUCUGCCAUUUUUUUUUUUCCAAUUAGAAGCUACUCACUGCAACACAUGCUCUAUUUUGGCUUAGUGUGUUCUUUCAUUGAGUUUUUGAGAAUAAUUUUGCCAGGUGGAGGAGAUUGAUGAUAUUGAUGGCAAUUCUAGUGAUCCAUUUGUUGCAGCUGCCAUUGCAAAUGAAAGAGAACUGGAUCUGUCUGAAGAACAAAAGAAAAAUUAUAGGAAGGUAUGUUUGUGCCAUCCAAACUCCAAUAGUUGAUGUUCUUGCUGUUAACAUCAUCCUUGUUGUUACUUGUUAUUCAAAGAUCAAUUUUUACACACAAACACACAUUUACAUGUACUAAACAAUUUGGCUACAUGUAUAUUUGGUUUCCUACACCAAGAAUUAAUCAUGAACCUUGGUGGAUAUAUUCUCCACUUUGGUGAUAAAAUUAUGUUUCUUAUAAAAAAAGGAUAUAACGUGGAAUGGGUAUAAACAUGGAAAAUCAUGUUAGUUGGGAAAUUCUGAGGACUUUUUCACUGCUGUCUGGGAAUGUAUAUGGGUAUAGAAACCCCUUAAUAAACCCCGGUGUUGGUUUUUCAGUGUCCCCAUAAUUUUGCAAUAUUUCCACGAGGAUUGUGCAGUCUUACCUUUUUGACGUACAUUUUAGUUAACUGGUAUUUGAUUGAAUAUACUCUGUCUUAUCAUCUCUUUUAAUCUUUGAUGGCGGUCUCUUUGUCGCUUACCAACUUGGUUAGAGUAGGCAUAUGUGGAUAUGUUUGAUUUACCUUUUUCAUCAGUAGAUAGAUAACUCCUGCUGCUUUUAGACUUAUAAUCGACAUUGUUCCCUUCAUUAACUGCAAAUGUUCUUGAUAACAGUUGGUCGAGCUUUAAUUAAGUUGAUAGUGUUUCUGUACUUAUCCAUUGCAAGGUCAAAGAAGAGGAUGAUGCAUAUGUUGAUCGGAAGCUUCAAAUUCAUUUGAAACGGAAGAGACAUCAAAAGAGACGUAAACAGGUUAUAUUGUGCUUGUGUUUUCCCUCUUUCUUGAUUCUGGGAUUUUGAGUUGCAGUUUAGAUAACUUUUUAAAGUUCUAUUCAUAUUGCUAAUGUAGAGUUUGAGACAAGUUAUGGUGCUUAGUGCUGCAAUCAUUUGGUUGGUUAUCCUAGCCAGAGUCCAGCAGUCAUUAUAUGUCGUCUGUACAAUUGUUAUUCUUAUCAACUCUAUUUAGUGACAUCCUAUGGUUUUUCAUUUCCAGAAUCUUGUAAUUUUCGUUUGAAUUUGUUGUUGAGAAUUACUAAUAAGAGAGAAUUGACGGCCAUAUUAUAGUAAACUUACUUUCAUAUGAAAAAGGGAACAAAAAUAGAAGUCCCAUUGAUGAUUUUGGAUGUGAUUUUAGGGUUAUUGUGCUCUUCUUUUUCUUUCCCUUUUAUAGCACCAAGUUCAUUAGGGCUUUUUCUGUACAAGAUGUGGAGUUGUCCUGCAUGAGCAUACAUUUAACGUUCAUUAUUUCUUUUUUCCUGUUACCGAAUUAGGAUGUUAGAAGGAACGAAGUUUGCCUAGUUGAUCAGGACAUGGGUAUGACCUGCAUUUAGGCAUUCAUUGAUAUACAUUCUUUCCUCCUAUCAAAUCAGGAUGUUGGCAGGAAGGAAGUUUUCCCAGUUGAUCGGGUGAUAGAAAGCAACAUGGCCCAGUCUCCGUCUCUGCUAGACUCUGCUACCUGUAUCUCAAAUGGGAAAAUUGAUGAACAUGGUGAAAUUUUUUCUAACAAUGAUGAUGAGAUAGGAUGCCAAAAUAUGAAGUCUGCUGUGCUUGAAGAUUUGGAAACCUCUAAUAAUGUCGACCAAGAAAGCAUAAUGAGUAAUGGUUCUUCUCCGGUGCCUGAUUCUAGUGAAUCAAGAGGCUCCAAGCGUCUGAAUGAGGAUGAGGAACUAAACCUUGAUAAUAAGAGGGGUCGAACUGUUAUAAUAGAUAGCGAUGAUGAUGCUCCACUGAAAGAUAUUUCAGACUGCAAUUUGAUAAAAUCUGAGGACCAGUCCAAUGCGGAUGCGAGUAUCAGCAUAUCUGCCACUGGUGGUCUUCCUUCACAUGGUCUGAAUAAGAAGGUCUACUGCACUGCUUGUAAUAAACUUGCUGUCGAAGUGCGCUCACACCCACUUCUGAAGGUGAUUAUUUGUACAGAUUGCAGAUGCUUAUUGGACGAAAAGAUGCAUGUGAAGGUAUGGGCAUGAGUAACUUUUAUGCUUUCUGUAAUCUAUAUUUGAACAUUUUGUAUAAACUUUUCAUGGUCAUGCAGGUGAUAGAAUGUAUUAAACUGAUUAUUGGAAGGAAAUUGAUAUUAUAGUUUCUAAUGAAUCUAUAUCCUCAAUAGAAAGACCUUUAACUUUCUCAUCACUUUUGGCUGUCAUAUGUAAUGAAAAAAAAGGAAAGGAAAGCUAGCUCUUGUUAAUAUUUUAUAUUGUUAAUAAUCUUUCUAAACCGUUUAAUGCUUAUAAUUUUAUAUAUUUAUUUUAAGUAAAAGCUAGAUCUUUUAGUGACCUAAGAAGGUGUGCAGGAUCCUGAUUGCUGUGAGUGCUAUUGUGGGUGGUGUGGGCAAAGCAAGGACCUUGUAAGUUGUAAAUCUUGCAAGACGUCGUUUUGUACGACUUGUAUAAAAAGAAAUAUUGGAGAGGAAUGCUUAUCCGAGGCCCAGACCUGUGGCUGGCGAUGUUGUUUCUGUUGCCCAAGUCUUAUACAGACAUUGAUGUUACAAUUAGAGAAAGCAAUAGGUUCUGGAGAUAUGGUAGUUUCUAGCUCUGAUAGUGAUUCAGAUAAUUCAGAUGCAGAACUAGAUGUUGCUAUCAGGUAUAAUGGUAUUUAUUAUGGUGAUUUCUAAGUGAAUUAUUCUUCUCUCCUCUCUCUCUCUCUCUCUCUCUCUCUCUCUCUCUCUCUCUCUCUCUCUCUCUCUCUCUCUCUCUCUCUCAUUCUCUCCAUUGCUGAAGAAUGCUAUAGUUUAUGUUUGUUAGCAUUUUAAACUCUAAACAAGUGUUGAGAUUUGUUCUUGAGCGUUAGGUAUUUUUGUUGUGCUUACUGUGUUUCUGAACAUAUUUGGACUUUGUUCAGUUCUAAGAGGAAGAGAAAGAAGAGAAUUCGGAGGAUCAUUGAUGAUACUGAAUUAGGAGAAGAGACCAAAAGAAAAAUUGCAAUUGAAAAGGUACCUUCUUAUGAUGAUUUUGUAUUCUAACACAGGCCUUUUGGUACCGAAAUUAUUUCAUGAACCUAUCUUCUGUAGGAACGUCAGGAACGCUUAAAGUCUUUGCAAGUACAAUUUUCUGCCAAAUCUAAGAUGAAGAGCUCUGCAAGCUGUAAUGGGAAUUUACCCGAAGGUGCCAGUGCUGAAGUGCUGGGUGAUGCAUCAGCUGGAUAUAUAGUGAAUGUUGUGAGAGAGAAGGGUGAAGAAGCAGUCAGGAUCCCUCCAAGCAUCUCAGCGAAACUGAAGACACAUCAGGUUUUUCCUAAUCUGUUAACUAUUUUUCUCUUGAGGCUUUUCUUCUGUGAAUUCCCUUUAGACAUUUUGACAAAGCUGGGACUGAUAUCAAUGCUUUCCAUUUCUUUCACAUUGUUUCUUCGAAAUAAUACAUUCUGGGGACAUUCUUGUUCAACGCCACGGUUUUAGCUUUCCUGCAGCCUGCCAAAUCUUCUAUAUUCAGCCUGGUUAAGAAAUUAGUUACACGUGCACAUAUAUAUAUAUAUAUAUACUUGUUUAUUUCAGUUUUUCAUUGAAUGCACUAGCUCAAUUCGGAUCCAUUGGGAUUUAUGUUCAAAAUGAAAGCUUUGACUGGGACAGGACAUGCCAUGCUGAUUAAUGGCAGUCUGUUAUCUGUUAAUUUUCAGAUAUUGAGUAAGUAGCUGUAUAUUAUCUGCCUAGUGCCUGAAUGCUGAUAGUAUAGUCCUCUGUUCCAGUCUGAAUGUGUGAUCAGAUUUCCAUAUUGGUUCUCACAUAUAAUAAAAUAAUGGGUUCAAAGUGUUGAAGCCUGUGAUCAGGACGAGGAAAAAAUGGGUAAAGGGUGAGGGGAGUGUGCCAUGCCUCGACAGUUGAAAAGAGUUCCAUGUCUUACUUUUUCACUUGAAUUUCUUUAUUGCCAUGACCUGCUAGACCUAUUAUUGUUUCACAUAUUUAUCUUUAUAUGACCUCCUUGAUUUCUGGUUUGCAGUAAAAUUCCUCUGGGAACUCUCUUUUAUGUGUUAUUAACUUUUUAUGACUUGCCGUUUAUCUUUUAUAUUGUUUUUGUUACAAUCUGAUAUCUUAUCACAGAUUACGGGGGUAAGAUUUAUAUGGGAGAAUAUCAUACAGUCAGUCAGAAAAGUGAAGGCUGGGGAUAAAGGUCUUGGAUGCAUUCUGGCUCACAUGAUGGGCCUUGGUAAAACUUUUCAGGUAUUAUGUUCUGUCUGCUAAAUGCUCUUCCCAAUAACUCUGGGCAUUUCUUUAGAUUGAAAUAGGUGUCAGUGCAUGUAGCAAUGACCCUGUAGCCUGGUAGGAUAGCCUAUCUUGCAGAAUGCAAGGAGAUGGCUCAUAUUUUCUUUGCAGGGCAUAUAUUUUUAAGUGGUUGAUUGAUAUACUCUGCAUAAUUUGUCAAAUGGCUUUCACAGGUCAUAGCUUUUCUGUACACUGCAAUGAGAAGUAUUGAUCUGGGAUUGAAAACUGCACUUAUAGUCACUCCUGUGAAUGUGCUACAUAAUUGGCGGCAGGAGUUCAUGAAAUGGAGACCGUCAGAGCUAAAGCCUCUUCGCGUUUUCAUGCUAGAAGAUGUGUCAAGGUUUAGUUAACAUUUGUAUAUUGUUUCAUUCCAUUUCCAUCACAGUAAAACAUUUUGCUUCACUGUUGCAUUUUACCUUUUCAUGAAUUAAAGUCUAUUAGGUAUGUCUUUGUUACUUGGUGUUGUUGGUUGCUGACGAUACCUCUGUUUGCCAGGGAAAGAAGAGCAGAGGUUCUUGCAAAGUGGAGAGCUAAGGGUGGUGUUUUUUUAAUUGGCUACUCUGCUUUUAGGAACCUAUCCCUUGGAAAGCAUGUGAAGGAUCGACACAUGGCUCGAGAAAUUUGUCAUGCCUUGCAGGUAGGUUGAUUUUAAUUGUUAACCUCUAAAAGUGUCGUUAAUAUCAUGCGUCCAAUUCUGUAUUGAUUAUUAACAGUAACUUGUAGUCUGUCCCUUUCAAUGUCUUCUGACAGCCUAUUCAGUAAUAAGCUCCAUCAUGGUACCAUAUAUUUAGUAGCAGACUUUUUAAUUACCCUUGUUUAGUUUUCAUGUUCCCAAAACAUAGCAUGCAUCUUUUAUCUGAUCUUUUUAGAUUUUUCCAUUUCAUAUUGUCCCCUGUAUUUAUCAAUGAAAACAAUGUUGUUUGCAAAGCUUGUGACUUAUUGUUACAUUUCCAACUGUCAGGAUGGACCUGAUAUACUUGUUUGUGAUGAGGCCCAUGUUAUAAAGAAUACCAGGGCUGAUGUAACCCAAGCCUUGAAACAAGUGAAAUGCCAAAGAAGGAUAGCAUUAACUGGAUCACCUCUCCAGAACAAUCUCAUGGAAUAUUAUUGUGUGAGUUCACUUGAAAGCGAUACAUUGUUUUAUUUCUUACAAAUUACCUACUGUUUUGAUUCCUUUGAAAUUUUAAUUGUUCACAGAUGGUUGAUUUUGUAAGGGAAGGUUUUCUUGGAAGCAGCCAUGAGUUUAGGAAUCGGCAAGACUUCUUCACUCAAAACUUGUUUGCUGUGCAAUUUCGUUUUGUUUUUUUCCACAUAUCUUAAUACUGCCUCCCCUUACAUGCAGCUUCCAGAAUCCCAUAGAGAAUGGCCAGCAUACUAAUUCAACCGUGGAUGAUGUGAAAAUUAUGAAUCAAAGGUCUCAUAUUCUGUAUGAACAAUUGAAAGGAUUUGUUCAGAGAAUGGACAUGAAUGUGGCAAAAAAGGACUUGCCACCAAAAACUGUUUUUGUAAUAGCUGUUAAGCUCUCUCCCUUACAGAGGAAAUUAUACAAGAGAUUUCUUGAUGUGCAUGGAUUUGCUAAUGACAAGGUUUACAAUGAAAAGAUAAGGAAGAGAAGUUUUUUUGCUGGCUACCAGGCCUUAGCUCAGGUAUAUUGAGCACCUUUGUUAGGUUCCCGAAGUUCCAUUAUACUACAGACAAUAACAUGCACACACACACACACACACACAAGAGACACACACACACACACACACACACUCACACAUGCAUGCAUGCAAAAGCAUUCAGUCCUAUGCUAAAGCAUCCACUCCUAAGCGCUUCGUUAACCUUUAUUGACAUUUUAUGCAAUGAUAAACAUCCACUCUUAAUCUGUCAUGCUUCUUGCUUCAUGUAAAAUGUUGUAAUAUAUGAGCUUUUUGUCUGUAGUAGAUAUGGAACCACCCAGGGAUCUUGCAACUAAGAAAAGAUGACAAAGACUAUGCGAGACGCGAAGAUGCUAUUGAGAAUUUUCUUGCAGAUGACAGCUCUAGUGAUGAAAACAUUGACGAUAGUUUGGUUUUUGGAGGUAUUUUAUUCUCUCCCCUUUCUUUUCCUAUAAGAAGUCUUCCUUUUAUUUUUUAUUUUUUUAUGCCAUGAAUUGAUUUUGACAUUAGAUGACAGACUAAAAUACCGAAUCUUCUUUCAACAUCAAGAUGCUAGUUGAGCUCAGUAAUAAACCCUAAACCCUCAUUGAACGCUGAUGAUUAAUGUGUCAGAAUAAAAGGUUAAGCAUUUGGCAAUAUCGGUAAGCCAACGAAGUUGGUCAUAGUACCAGAGUAGGAGAUCUGGAGUUCAAUUCCCUGCAAUUACAAUCUCUCAAUAUAAGUUGAUUUUGCACAUGAUGGGCUUGUAGAAAUCCACAAGGUUAGGAGUCUUAAGGGGUCUGUUAUCUUCAAAGUUACAGUUGUGCUUGGCUAUCAGGCUAUCAGGGAACAUCCAUAUCUAUGUGGCUGUGCACUAAAUUUCUGUUCAACCUGUCUAAAUUGUCUUAUUUGUCAAGUCGUGCUUUGGCUAGUUUGAUGAACUGCUGACUACAAAUUAAUAAGGACACAAACUGUGAAAAACGCUUUUGCUGCUAUAAUUUCGCAUCAGCAUUAACAUUCUCAUACCUUUCCUUGCAUGGUAUGGCUGAGACAUGUUAAGAAAUCAUGGCGUGACUUUUUUUUGUCUCAUUUGUUUGGAUGCAUGUAUGUAAUCUUGUUGAGAAUAAUUCCUUCACAGUAUCUAAUAAUGGUAACAUAUCUUGCUUUAUAGAGAAGCAGAGGAAGAUCAAUGAUAUUUUGCCAGGGAAAAAGGAUGAUGACAUUUUUCAACAGGUAGGGAUAUGGACUAAAUGCAAUGUUGCACUUCAUUAAUAUUUGAUUUCCCUUCUAUUUGACUAUAUUUGAGAUGUGUCAAUGCCCUUAGUGUUUUACUAGGAAAAAUAAAUAGAACACUGCGUUGGGCUCUGUAGUAUACAUGACCAUCUGAAGUGUCGCUUGUUGUAACCCCCUUUCAUGAGGAAUAGGUGCACCCAAAUAAGUGCCUCCUUUAGUCGAUAUGGUGAGGUGCAUCCUUUUAUUGCCAUAAGGGUGCUGAAAUCCAGAAACCAGUCUCUAAAAAGAAGUUACAAUUUCUUACUUUUGUUUGUUAUUGUUCUCUUAAUUUUUGUUUGAGCGUAUUGCUAACCAUAUAUCACUUAUCAGGAUUGGUGGAAUGAUCUUAUUCAUGAGAAUAAUUAUAAAGAGCUUGAUUACAGUGGCAAAAUGGUAUUGCUGCUUGACGUUCUCGCCAUGUGUUCUGAUGUGGGCGAUAAGGCGUUGGUGUUUAGCCAGAGCAUACCAACACUUGACCUCAUAGAACUUUACCUUUCAAGACUACCUCGACAUGGGAAGAAAUGGAAGUUUUGGAAGAAAGGAAAAGAUUGGUACAGGUGGGUACAAUAUUACUGAAAACAAUUUACAGUUGUCCGACAGCAUAGGUUUUCUUGUCAGCUGCUUGAGUUUGUAACUUUAUUCAUCAAAAGAAUUCCCUAUUUGUCCAAGAGCUUGGCUUGUGCUCUGUAUCUUGUUCUUGCUUUGGUAGUGGGAAAUGAAAAACUUUAGAAGAAAGAGAUUUUAACUUGGCCCGCUUUUGUGUAGUAAAUCAUGUAGCCGUGAGGUUCUCACUUAUUUAUCCAGUCCAUUAUCACUUUCUUGCCUUUCUUGAAUGUUGGGCGUAACUCCUUACCCAUCGUCCUUAUUUUGACCUUUUUUUUGCUAUAGAUAUAAAUACGAUGGUCUUUAAAUAAAGGUGACACUUCCUUUUACUUAUGUCUUUCUCACUUGUUUCUUUUAUUGCUCCUCAGGCUAGAUGGAAGAACAGAGAGCUCAGAAAGGCAAAAGUUGGUUGAGCGCUUUAAUGAUCCCCUAAAUAAGAGGGUGAAAUGCACUCUGAUUUCCACCAGAGCUGGAUCUUUGGGGAUAAAUCUCCAUGCUGCUAAUCGUGUAAUCAUAGUUGAUGGUUCUUGGAAUCCGACAUACGAUCUUCAGGCUAUAUAUCGUGCUUGGAGGUGAGUUUGCAUUUAUGCUUUUGUAGUCCUCAACCAGCUUGUUUAGUAAGUGCACCUUGAUAUAGUGUAAUUUUGGGGGUAUAUCACAUUAAAAGCUGGUGAACUUCGUAACUUGGAGGGACUGUUUGCGGUUUUAGGUUUUAAGAGAGAUGAGUAGCUGCAAUUAUGAAAUUAUUUAUUGAAUUGACUGCAACAAUUAGAGGCCUUGGGGUUUGGUUUCUUGUGAAGUAUAAACUAGAAGUCAAACUGUGGGGCUAUUUUAUGAAUGGCAUUGUGGACUGUAAUAGAGGCUAAAUUUGGAGAUGGGGUGCAGGAGAUUUAUCUCAUUCUUUAUUUUUGGGAAAUAGAUAAGAAAGCUUUAGGCUUGUGCCAGAAAAUGCUCUUCAAGAUGGUCCCACCCCUCUAAUUCUUACACAUAGUUAUAUCAUAUCAAAGUCCUUGGUGGACGGGACAGUAAGCCUGAUGAUUAUUUUUCCUCUACCAAGCAUGGAAUCUUUCACGAACAAUGUGACAAAUUCUAAACAAUGUAUUUGUUCCAUUUUCAGGUAUGGCCAAACAAAGCCGGUUUUCGCUUACAGAUUGAUGGCACAUGGAACCAUGGAAGAAAAAAUAUAUAAGCGUCAGGUAAUGGGAGAACAAACUGGGUGUAUGGUUCUAUUAUGUGAAUGAAAUUUUAACAAAGGAAAUGUGGCAAAUAGGUAACGAAGGAGGGCCUGGCUGCAAGGGUUGUUGAUAGACAACAGGUACAUAGGACAAUAUCUAAGGAAGAGAUGUUGCAUCUUUUUGAAUUCGGUGAUGAUGAGAAUCAUGAGCUUGGCCAAGAUAAAGGAUGCUCGGACCAAAAUAUGACUGGUGAAGUUGAAAUUUUGCCUAAACACAAAGUGCCUCUUUCUCAAGGAAGUUGCUCUUCUGACAAGCUAAUGGAAGGUUUACUUGGCAAGCACUAUCCAAGGUAUGUUUCCAUGUUCUUAGUAUUUUCAUAAUCUAUUGGUAUAUGAUUUUGUUGCCUGGUUACAGCGGCCACCACUGGCAACUUUACCCUCCUCACUCACUCUCUUACGGAUGAACUACCCCGUUUUCAGGUGGAUUGCCAAUUUCCACGAACAUGAGACUCUUUUGCAAGAGAAUGAAGAGGAAAAGCUCUCAAAGGAGGAGCAAGACAUGGCUUGGGAAGUAUACCGGAGAGCAUUGGAAUGGGAGGAAGUGCAGAGAGUUCCUCUCAAUGAAUCUGCAGUGGACCGAAAGCCAGCUGCACUAAAUGUGGCCUCAUCUGCACCAGAGAUGAGCAGCCUUGCUGAAUCGAAAGCGAAGGAUAUUUCUGUGCAGCGGAAAUGCACUAAUCUUUCACAUUUGCUAACCCUUAGAAGUCAGGGGACAAAAAUUGGUUGCACUACUGUGUGUGGGGAAUGUGGUCGUGAGAUAUGCUGGAAGGAUCUGCAUCGGGAUGGCAGGCUUGCAAGGUGAACGAGAGUGCCUUCCAAGUUGUAGAUUGUGUGAUGUAAAUGGUUCGAUUGUAUAUUGCAGUUUCUGUAGGUUCAAUGCCCCCUUGAACACAAUUGGAACAUUCUUUUUGGCGUACUUGUUUUGUUUUGAUGAGGAAAUGUCCUACUCCUUGAUACCACAGAAAUAGGCUUGUAUAAAUCAAAGUUGCGAGAAUGAACUGAGCAAUGAAAAUCCGAAACCUUUUCCUUGGGAUGAAUUUGUUGAGAUGUUUUUUAUUUUGUAUUUCAUCUUUAUUUUUAAAAUACACCCAAUAUGGUCCUGAUUUCAUAAUUCAUUUUUUGAAAUGAAAUUGUUUCUUAAUGAGUUGAAGAGGAAGAAGAUAAUCAGAACAACAAUCAGUAGGACGUACCGUAUUCACUAUCAGAAUGAAUUGAAUUAAACGGGAAAUGCUCUUCAACCUCAACUACAAAGGGGCCGAUUGGCAAUUAAUUUCACAAACAUAUUGCAAGUUUUAUAAGUUUACACAAUCGAUCUCUUGUUUUUACUUGUCCACGUGAUCAACUUCUGAUUCUGAAACAAAUUAAGGUGAAAAUCGAAUAAUGCGCUCUUCAAAGCCUAUUCCUCAUUCAUUCACAUAGGAGAAGUUCAUGCAUAGGAAGAAAAAAAAAAAAAAAGAGUGGAAAAUCCCGAUAUCAAACAAGUGAUGGUCCUAAUGUGUUUAGGAAUAGCGAAUAUGUAUCCUUGAUCAUCAAGGAAAGGGUCUUGCAUAGAAAUCGGUGAUCGUUUCUUAGCAAAUAUUGUUUUUUAUUUUUUUAUAUAGAUAAUCUGGGUGAAGAAUUAGAAAGCUCGUUUGUUUUGCUUAUAAACAGCAAUAUUUUCUUACAGAUAAUCUUUACACAGCUAUUUGAAAUCCAGAUUUAAGAGUUGGAAAACGGGUUCAAAUUGUCCUUUAGGUUUAGGAAUUGUUAAUGCUUCUUUCUUGAGUAUCAAGAAAACGGUUUUACUUGUAAGUAAACAGUAAUAUGUGUUCUCCAUAACUCCAAGAUCCCCUCAAAUACAAGUAACAAUAUUGUUUGUUUCAGAAACUAAUUAAGUCAUCAAAACUCACAAUCAAUAUACUUAAGCACUGAUGAGGGCUAAACGACAUUAUGUAUUUUAUGAUGACGACCAUGAGGAUACUGGAACUUAGGUGACCAUAAAAAAUAAAAUAUUUAUUUUCGGAAUAAAAUCUUUUGGUUUCUUUUUACUUGGCAUGCAUUAAAUUAUAACUUAAUCUAUCCCUCGAAUAGAUUAUUAUAACUUAAUAUUCUAUCUCUCGCAUAAAUUAUAAGUUAAAAGGUAACAAUUUGAUCCCAUAACACGAGCUUUGGCCCAAAUUGAAGCGAAUCGGUUCAGCUCCCUUCCCGCCUCCAUUUCAUGCGAAUCUUCAAGACGUGGGUUGAAUGCUGUCCCUCUAAUACUCUCAAUAAUAUGCGAAUCUUCAAGACGUUUGCCGUUGAAGAAUAGGGUUUGCUGGGAUACAUUUAUCCCUAGUAAAGUUUCAAUAUGUUGCUUUAUAGAUUCCACAGUCUCAGCCAGGCUCACCUUAAAAACUUUGUCAUUAUGCCCUUUACGCUCCACAACCAAGUUGUGGUAGUUCCUGAAAAUAAAACCUCAAAAUAAGGAUUUGUAUUGUUGUUUUAAUUUGUUUUUAAAUCAUUAAAAAAAAACAAUUAAGAAGAAGUGUUUGAGAAUGGGUAAUUAAGUCGCAUAAUAUAUGGGUCUUGCUUUGGAUUUUCAGAAGCUUUAUUUGGUGGUGCAAUUCAGGGAGCAACAUUACUGUACGUAACAACAAACAAAACAAAAAAGUAGGAUACAUACAUAAUUUCCAAACAUCUCCAUCCCCUCCCUUGCUACGCCUUCGUUACGGGAAUUGGCUUCUACUCUCAGAAGUUGAUUCUCCUCCUCGCCAACUGCAUUACCGUCAUUGGCUACUACUCCCUGAAGUUGAUCCUCCUCCUCGCCAACUGCGUUACCGUCAUUGGCUGCUACUCCCCGAAGAUCCUCCUCCUCUCCAACUACGUUGCCGUCAUUGGCUGUUACUCCCUGAAGAUCCUCCUCCUCUCCAACUACGUUGUUAGAAUUCUCUGUCUGUAUAGUAUUUUCAGAUUAGGAAGAGGUGUAUAUUCUGGAGCUUUUAGCUAGAGAGAAUGAAGAGAAAUGGGGAAGGCACUGUUCUAUUGAAUUCUUACAAUCUGCAGCUUACAUAGUGUGUCUGACAGAGAGAGAAAUGUGAUUCUCUCCUAACAGAAUUACAGCUGUCACCCUAUUAGGUGCUUAUACGUGUCAUACCAAAUCUAAGCUAGAGAAUCCACCUAGACUAUGAUCUAAUGGUUCUCAUUACAUCAUUUAAAAUAGACUUAACAGAAAAUAGAAAAUGACUUCAGCUCUAAGAAAUCUGUAGAAGGAUUAUAUUUCAACACUCCCUUCUAAUCCUUUAGCUGAUUUCACUCCAAGCAAGCUUCUCAACCUCACAAACCGAUCCUUAGGCAGAGCCUUAGUCAAAAUGUCUGCUAUCUGAUCUUCUGUCUUGCAGUACACCAGUUCAAUUUCUUUUGCUUGAAUGGCUUCCCUUAUAAAAUGAAAUUUCCUGCUGAUGUGUCUUGUCUUUUGGUGAUGAACUGGAUUCCUUGCCAUUGCAAUUGCAGAGGUGUUGUCACAUAGAAUUGGAGUCCCUUCUACCUGUACUUCACCAAAAUCUUCAAGCACAAAUCUGAGCCACUUAGCUUGUGAAGUUGCUUCUGCAGCACUCACAUACUCAGCUUUGGCUGUAGAUAAAGCAACUGUGUUUUGCUUGAUGGAAUCCCAAGAGAACAUGCCUGAGCCUAGUGUGAAGGCAUAUCCUGAGGUACUCCUCAUAUCAUCCUCACUCCCAGCCCAGUCACUGUCGCAAUACCCAAUUAGAGUAGCUGUUUUCCCCUUUGCAAACUCAAUUCCAAAAUCUAAUGUGCCUUGUAUGUAUCUCAGCACCCUUUUAGCAGUUCCCAUGUGUUUCUUUGAGGGAUUGUGCAUAAACCUGGCAAGCAAGCUAGAUGCAAACAUGACAUCUGGUCUUGUGGCAGUUAGAUAAAGCAGACUUCCUACAAUCUGUCUGAAUUCAUUUUCAUCUGCUGCUUCACUUCCAUCUUCUCUACACAAUUUCUCAUUCACCACUAAUGGAAUUGCCACUGACUUGCAGUCUCUCAUUCCAAACUUCUCAAGAAUUUUCAUGGCAUAUUUCUUUUGAUGAAUGAAAAUAUGCUUAUCAGUUUGUUCCACUCCCAUGCCAAGAAAAUGGUGUAACAGACCCAAGUCUGUCAUCUCAUAGUGUUGCAUCAUAUCUUGUUUAAACUCUUCAAGCAUUUUAGGACAGCUUCCAGUAUAUAUAAUGUCAUCUACAUAGAGUGAGACAAUGAUAAUACCUGAGGUGUCACUUGUUUUGAUAUAGAGAGUAGCUUCACUUAAGCUCUUCUUAAAACCUGCAGUGUUGAAAUAGGCAUCUAUUUCAUCAUACCAGGCCCUUGGGGCUUGUUUCAGUCCAUAUAGAGCCUUGUUCAACCUGUAUACCUUGGUUUCCUUGCUCUCUUGAACAUAUCCUUGAGGUUGUUCAACAUAAACUUCCUCCUUUAGAAUGCCAUUGAGAAAGGCAGACUUCACAUCCAGUUGAAAUAGGUUCCAUUCCUUUUGUGCUGCAAGGGCUAUCAAGGUUCUGAUGGUGUCAAGUCUUGCCACAGGGGCAAAUGUCUCAUUAUAGUCGAUUCCAGGCUUCUGUGAAUAGCCUUUAGCCACAAGCCUAGCUUUAUUCUUCUGCACAGUACCAUCUAGGUUCAGUUUGACCUUGUAGACCCACUUAACACCAAUUACUGGUUUGUCAAAUGGCCUGUCAACUAAUUUCCAUGUAUUGUUCUUCUCAAUCAUCUCGAAUUCAGCCUCCAUUGCACUUCUCCAUGAUUCAUCCAAAUCUGCUUCUUCAAAGCUGUCAGGUUCUAUAAUGCACAUGUUGCAUUAUGUCAUGAUGUCAUUAAUACUCCUCCACUUGUGAGGUGUGUGAUCAAACCUUUGAGUCUCAUCAAGCAUUUCUUCCCCUUGAGGUUUAAUUUCUUCUUCCAUCUGCAUUUGAGUAUCCAAAAACUGAGAUUGUUCAUCUAACACCCUCUGUUCAGUUUCUGCAGUACCUUGAUUUCCAUUUGGCAUAGACAUUCUCACAUCUGCAUUGCUAGGAUUCUCCCAUUUCCAUGAGGCUUCUUCAUCAAAAUAGACAUCCCUAGACAAGAUAAUCUUUCUAGUCUUAGGAUCAUACAGUCUAUAGCCUUUUUCACACAAUCCAUAGCCCACAAAAAUGCAUUUGUGACUGUUUUCUUCCAACUUGUGUCUCAAAACAGAAGGAAUAAGUACAUGACAUAGGCAUCCAAACACUUUCAAGUGUGCAAUACCUGGCUUUCUUCCUGUGUAGGCCUUAAAUGAUGUCAUUUUCUUAAGAGACUUAGAAGGAUACCUGUUGAGAAGGUAGACUGCUGUAUGAACAGCUUCUGCCCAAAACUCAUAUGGAAGACUCUUUUCAUGUAGCAUAGACUUUGCCAUCUCAAUUACAGUCCUGUUCUUCCUCUCAACAACUCCAUUUUGUUGAGGGGAAUAUGCUACAGUCAGCUGCCUUUGUAUUCCAGCCUCACUGCAGUAUGCAAGAAAUUCAUUUGACAUGAAUUCUCCACCUCUGUCACUUCUAAGUGAUUUCACCUUGUGUCCACUCUGCAAUUCUGUCAUUGCUUUGAACUUCUUGAAACAUUCAAAAGCAUUAGAUUUAUUUCUGAGAAAAUAAACCCAAGCCAUUCUUGUAUAGUCAUCAAUGAAUAACAGGAAAUAUCUGUUUUCUGACAUUAAUGCAAUCUGCAUUGGACCACAGAUGUCAGUGUGAACUAAUUCAAGUGGAAACUGAGCUCUCCAAGUAGAUUCUGCAGGAAAUGAGUCUCUAUGCUGCUUUCCCAGCUUGCAGCCUUCACAAACUGCAAAAUCCUUCUCCAGACUAGGCAGUCCAUGAACCAUGUCUUGAUUUGCCAGCAUCCUGAUGCUUUGAUCAUUAAGAUGGCCCAGCCUUUUAUGCCAAGUCUGCAAACUGUGAGUCACACUUGCUCUCAGCACCAACUGAGUAGCAGGUACCAUUGUGAGAGAGAAACACCUAUUGCUAGUCAUUGGAACCUUAGCUAUAGGAUUUUGCAGUGACCAAUCAUCAAAAAUUGUCACCAUUCCCUUUCCAAAUACUAAACAAUACCCAUGUUCCAUCAUCUGACCAACACUGAGCAAGUUCUCUUCUAAACCAGGCACCAACAUCACUUCUUGUGUGUUUUCUGCCUGUCUUGGUUUCUAUCACAAGUGUGCCUUUUCCUGCAACUUGAACUGUCUCUCCAGUCCCCAUUUUCACCUUAGAAGUUACAUCCCUUCGAAUAUCUAUCAGUAGCCUUUCAUCUCCAGCCAUGUGGUUACUACAACCACUGUCCACAUACCAAGAAUUGUUCAAUUUCACACCUGUCACGGCAUUGCAUGCAUAAAACAAUGUUCCAGUUACUUCAACCUGAUUGGCAUAAUUCACCUUCUGCACAGGUUGAUUUCCAUGGCAAUCUCUAACCAUGUGACCAAACUUUCCACAUCCUCUGCAUUUUGGUUUUCCUUCAAACCAGCACUUGCCAUAGUGCAGUUUUUCACAGUGCUUGCAAGGUGUUUUAGUUCCAUCAUUUGAUGCAUUUGGUUUGGGAUUAGAAUUGGACUUGUUAUUCCAAUUCUUCCCAUUUUCCUUCCAGUUCCUCUGAGACUUGUUACCUCCAGAAGAACUUCCAUUCUUAGAGCUUUUACUCUCUAUGUUCAGGCUAGUAAAAGCCUUUUCUGUGGAAUUUUCAGUGUGCCUAUCCAAUCUGAGCUCAAAGUUCUUGAGAGACGCAACCACUUCUUGAAUUUCAAGAGUGUCAAGAUCCUUUGAAUGCUCAAUCACAGAACAUAUAGAGUCAUAAGAUCUAGGCAAGCUAAUAAGUAAUUUCUGCACAACUCUUUCUCUAGGUAACUCUUCACCAUAACUUUUCAUUUGAUUAAUUAGAUCAAACAGUUUAGCAACAUAACCAGAUAAUGACUCACUAUCCUUCAUACGAGUGUAUUCAAACUCUCUACGUAAGCCUUGUAGCUUCACACUUCGUACCUGUUUAUCGCCUCUAAACUCCUGCUUCAGAAUAUCCCAUGCACCUUUUGAGGUUUCUUCAUUCACUAUUUUGGGAAAAAUUUGGUCUGAGACUGCACCUUGGAUCAGUCCAAGUGCACGAGCAUCUUUCAUCAAAAUCUCAGCCGAUGUAGACUUCUCUUCUUCAGCAGCUUUAGAUCCUUCUUCCUUUCCUUUUUCCUUCUUUGGAUCUGAAGCAUCAAAACCAUGUUCAACCAAAUCCCACAGUCCAUGAGAUUUCAGAAUGGUCUUCAUUCGAAUGCUCCAAAACUCAUAGUUUUCUCCAUUGAAAACUGGUGUAAGAAGCUCGGAAGAGCUUGAUCCUGCCAUGUUAGACAUCAGACGCAGCUAGAAAAGCUUCGUGAAGUUUUGAGUGAGCUCAACGUCAGCUCAGCCAAACACCAGCUCGAUUCUCACAAAUUCACGCCCAACAAACAAUCGAACCUGGCUCUGAGGCCAUGUUAGAAUUCUCUGUCUGUAUAGUAUUUUCAGAUUAGGAAGAGGUGUAUAUUCUGGAGCUUUUAGCUAGAGAGAAUGAAGCGAAAUGGGGAAGGCACUGUUCUAUUGAAUUCUUACAAUCUGCAGCUUACAUAGUGUGUCUGACAGAGAGAGAAAUGUGAUUCUCUCCUAACAGAAUUACAGCUGUUACCCUAUUAGGUGCUUACACGUGUCAUACCAAAUCUAAGCUAGAGAAUCCACCUAGACUAUGAUCUAAUGGUUCUCAUUACAUCAUUUAAAAUAGACUUAACAGAAAAUAGAAAAUGACUUCAGCUCUAAGAAAUCUGUAGAAGGAUUAUAUUUCAACAUACGUUACCAUCAUUGGCUGCUACUCCUUGACCGUGAUGGGGAUCUUCGCCAACCACGUUAUCAUCACUGACUGCUACCUGACCCUCAACAACGGUUCUACCACCGUAAUAAUCAUCUAUGAAUACACCGUCAUAUUUAAGUUGUUUGUAAUAUGAUGGUGAUUCUUGUCCAGGUUGUUCAUCCGUUGUACUUAAAAUCACAAACUAUAUUUAUGAAGUAAGAAAGAAAAGAAGCAACAAUGAAAAAGAUAUGAUCGAGAAGAGAAGCUUGUGUGCAUGCACAAUGGGGGUAGAGAGAGAGGGCUGUAUAUAUAAUAGCUCUGUGAUCAAGUAAAUCACUAUCUAUUUCUUCUUUUUCCUUACUGUUUUGGGAUAAUAGCUCCUGACUUAAUUACACUUUUUGAUAUAUCCCAGUUUGUUUUGGGAUAGUAGCUCCACACUUGCCCUUUUUUAUAUGGCGGCUUGGGAUAGUAAAGCUCCUCACUCGCCCUUUUGGAUAUCCAGUUUGGUUUGGGAUAACAGCUAGCCCCUGACUUUGGAGUACAUACCAAACUAUCCCAAAUAAGUGUCUUGAAUGGUUGUGCCAACAGCGAUUCCUAUAGAAGCCCAAAUGUGUGCUAUUGGUUUGUCUUUGGCUGUUUUUAAAAACAAAAAGCAAAUCAAAAUUAAAAAAGAAAAUUUUGAACCCAGCAUUGGUCUGUUCAGCAUAUGUGUUCCAAAAUUGACCAUGUACCCACACCAAAUCCAACCCUUCUAAUGCAUCAAACCCAGGAAAACAUAUUGUUCAAACCUAACCCACUAAGCCACCACCGCCUCGCCACCGCUCUCCUGAUUCACUGCCAUUGCAGAUAUAUGUUUUCCUUGCUUAAUCUUAAUAUCCAUAUGAGAACAAAUUUUUUUUCUUUUUCUUUCUGAUCAUAUAUCUUCAAUAUUAUUUGAAUGCAAAAAAUAUAGCCACAUUUAUGGCCAUAUAGUUGAUCGUGGAAUUUUCCUUGGGCAAUAUAUGUGGAUAUUUAUUGUCUUUUUUAUCUGUCUCAUUGACCUCUUUGGGGAGCCGGCGGUCUUGAGUCCUACUGAAGCCAUUUAUGGGGGUGUGCAAAGUGUAUGAAACAACGAGUCGUUUUAUGGUGAGGGUGUCAUAUAUGGAUUAUAGAUGUUGACUUCUAUUUUAGCCACAUGAUUCAUCUGAAUAGUAACCUCACUUAAGUUUAAUAUGAAAUGAUCUUGUGACUAAUAUGAAGGUCCGAAGGGUUCAUAUUUGGCAUAUACGGAACCGCGAUCGAGGGAGGCUUUUCUUCUUUCCUCGGCUUUCCUCACUUUAUCGCACUCGAUGAAACGGAGAGCAAAAGAACCUUAACUUUAGCAAACUAAGAGACAAACAAGGAUGGGAAGCUACUCACCCUCGUUUAGUAGAACCUAGUGAGGGAAAAGCACCCGCUGCUCUUGCUAUAAUAGUAUUAUAGUAAGGCACGCUACUCCUUCCUUUAGGAACAAUGGCCGACUAGUCUCUUACACAAGUAUUGAUGGAGUCGUACGCAUAGCUCCCUGUUUCUUUUUUAGUGUACAUACCUCGGCUCGGGGUUUAUUCUUUAUUAAUAAGUGGUUUAGCACCUCACUAUAAAAUUUCGCAUGAAAACAUAGUAAUAUUAGCAAAAUGGGCUGCAUGAAAGCCUUUUGCAUUGGAGCCUAAUAAAGUCGGGAAUUAUACUCGCAACGCAAAAGCCUGUAGAUUCAGUAUUAUCAAACCAAAAUCCAACGUCGGAAUUACCGUAAUGUCAUAGAAAAAUAAAACAUAUUUCCACCAAACUCUCACUGCAUUAUGCUGCAUUAAUUAAAAUAAAAAUAAAAGCUGUAUAGGUGAUGAAUUGAGAAAAGCCAACAAACUAUCUCCCAUCUGUCGUCGUCAAUACACAAAUAAAGGACUUGCCCUCCUUUCAUUUAUGUUAGUCUUUUUUCCUUCAAUAUUUCAAUUAUUAUUCUACGGGCUAGAUGGCAGACCAGAGAUAGCUUAUAGAGGCAAAAGCUGGUUCAGCACUUACACGAUGGGAUCCCCAAAAGUUAAAAACAAGAGCUGCACUGCACUCUGAUCUGAUUGGUAGAGUAUAUUAUUAACUACUGUACGUAGAUGAUAUUGAUUAGUGAAAGAAUUAAACACUUGAUUACAUCGAAACACAACAAAUUAAGCAUCUCAACAAGUAAAUAAUAUAUUUCUAAAAUACAGAAUCCAUCCUUCAAUUCCUAGUUUUUUAGUUAUAUAAUUGAUCAUCUUGUAGUGUAGUGUAAACUCAUGGACUAAACGACCACAAUUGGAGCAGCAGAACCCAACAUUCAAUCUCUCAACCUCCAGAUUAUUCAUCAUAAUCUCAACCCCUCAACGCCCUUAAUUGCUUGAACAUAAUUUGCAAGCCUCUUUACACGAUGUGCCGGAGGCAUAUUAUGAACAAUGCAGUCUUCCACAAUACUCCUAACUAGCUUCAAUCCUUUAAUUGGACCCAUCGCAGCAACCAUGUCAUUCUAUUCAUUUACAAACAAAUAAAAAAUCAUUAGAAGUCAUAUUUCUCUUCUCACUCCACCUGUGUAGGAGGAACAAAUAAAAUAAAUUUACAAAUUUGAGAAUGUGAAGGUAAAAAGUUCCACAUUGAAAAGUUAGAAAACCUUGUAAGGACUUAUAAGGAGUUGGGCUACUCACCCAAUUACCAAUUGGUUUUGGGGUGGAACCUCAACUUCCUUCAACAAAUACAAUGAUCAAAAGUAGGGAAAAAACACUAACAUUUGGGCGGAGAUAAAUGGAACAGCCUGUCAGUUUUUCAAGUUCCUGCAUUCCAAUUACAUUAUGAGAAAAGAAUACAUAAACGACAAGCAGAAAAAAGUAAACAUGAUAUAGAACACUUGUAUGCACCUGUAUCGGGAGAGUCGUGAGCAGUUUCUUCCGGGAAACAUACUUAUCCUGCAUAAACACAUUACAAGAUAUUAGAAAAAAAAAAGAAGAAGAAGCAAAUAACUGAGCUUUUGCAUAUUUCCAUCAUUACGGAGAGCUCAGGCUCUUCAUGUGAUAGAGAGCAUAACACCAGAAGUUUUUUAACACCAUCAUCAUUACAGACAUCCAAGAAGUUUUUUAAUACAAGUGAUAUUCUACUUUAAUUUAAUCCAAACUAUGCGGAGGGGGAUUCGAACACGGAUACAGAGUGGGAAUAAGUCAUAUUUUAUUGUCACAUUAAUUCUUUUAUCACCACACCCUAACCAAUUGUAAACCUUUUUAAAUUCAAAUGUCAUGCUAUAUAGUACUCUUGAAAAUUUAAUGAUUCUGCAUCAUAACUACAGAAGAAUGCUUAUGAGAACAUAAAUAACUACACACAAACAAAAAUUGAAGGAAAUUUAAGAAAUACCCACCGUCUUGAUCCCAAAUUUUGAGCAAAGCCCACCUAAAUGAUACCCAGUGUAGAUAAGGUAACAUGGCAUUCCGUACGUUACUUUUAAUGCCUGGAUCAAAAUGUUGCACACUCAAAUCAGAAGUUCAUUAAAUAGAAGAAAGCUCUAUAAAAUAAAAAAGAAAGAAAGAAGAAGAAAUCAGUUCAAUGAGAACAGAAAUCCUUGGAGGAUUCAAGCAGAAAGGAAAAGUCACAAUAAGUUUCUAUAAUUAAUAGUAGAUAAAUUGAACUUGAGCUUUCCAUUGAGAUGUAAAUAUUCUAAAAUAAAAUAAAUAUAUAUGCGAUUACCGUGAGAGAAAAAGGAAUAAUCACUCUUGAAGAAUAACUCGUAGGUUACCAUAAGAAACAAUAAGAAAAUAUUUGACAUUUGUACCUGACGUGGAGGAACUUCUGCUGCCAAAAGUCGGAUAAGAUAUCUAGAAUUGAGAAUAGCGUAUGGGUCCUUAGCCCUGGUUGUUGUGAAUGUUAUGAAAAACUGAUCCUAAACAUGAUAAUAAAAAUAAAAAACAACUUAAUAUGUGCAUAAGCAUAACUAAAACUACUCAAUAUGAGAAAAAAAUAAUCAUACAUGGUUUGAAAAACAAAAACACUAAUCCAUAUAGUUCAACAUUUAUUAUAAAAUACCAUAUCCAAUUCACAUGAAAUGCCAUAUUCUUCUAAAGAUGAUUCCAGCACCGGCCACGCUUCUUGCAAAUCUGUUGCUGUUAAAAACCAUGCAGAGACUCAUAAGUAAGAAAGAUUUGUUCUUUAACAUAAUUAUCAUAGUAAUAAUCACAUUUGCUGGCCCGCCCCACUUCAGAUUUAAAACUUAAAAAUAAAUUAAAAAGGUUUGUCCUAAAAUAAGUUUGAACCCCAAUGGGAAAAUCCCUCCAUGCCCCACCUCAUCUCCCAUUCCAGGACUUACUCCAGUCACCCUUCUCUCUCCUUUGUCUUUCUUCUAAUUAUUUGGUUCUUCUAGAUUCUUUUAUCUUGCUCACAGCCCACCCCACCCUACCACAAUCAGCGGCUGCUUCUGCUUCUUCUUCUGUGAGUUCCCUGCGGCCUCUGAUAAAUUUAUUGCCUAUGGAUUGUUUUAGGAUUUUUUUUAUUUAUUUAUAAAUUUUUGGUUUCUGGUUUUUGUCUGAUUUAGGGUUCUAAAUUAGCAUAAGUAUUGUUUAGUCAGGGUUAGAUUAUGCUUUCACCUAGGGAUUCAAAUUAGGCUAUGACUUUGGGGUUGUUUCUUUUAAAUUCUCCCAAAAAUAUCAUAAUCGUUGCUAGAACGAAAAAAGAAAAGGAAAUUUUCAUGAGCAGGCUAACAAAACGGAAAAAAUAAGAGAAUAAGAAGAGAGAAAAGUACUCGAGCGUCUACGAAAAGGCAUAAGGAGAAUGCUGUAAUCAAUUGGGCUAUCUUUGUUCGAUGCAGGGGGGCCAGACUUGUCCAUCUCCAUGUGGUUGAUGCUUGGAUGUUCACUUUGUUAUUCAUCGCUCUUGUUUUGAAACCCUAGGCACAGACAGAGAAUGAGUUUCUGCAGUGAAUAAUAAUAGGGUAAAUUUUAUUUUACUACCCGGAUGUUUACCAAAGUUAAGAGUUUAACUACCUAAGUAAAGGACCUAUUAGUGUGGUAGUUUGAAGUAUUUACUCCCUCAGGCAAGGUUCUGGGUUCAAGUCCUAGCAACCGUGUUGUGUAUGUGAGUUUAAUAUGCUAUCGCCCCUUUCAAUAGGAAAGGUUCUUUUAAAAAAAAAAAAAAAACUAAAGUUUUUUUUGGUGUCAUAUCCAAAAUGAAUCCGGAUCCUCUGCUUUGAUUUUCUCUAUCAUAAUUUGCUUAACUUUUCACCAUAUGACACCUCAUUAAAAUUUAAUAUAAGAGAUUUAAAGUUUGACACGUCAUCUCUAAAAUAAAAAUCUAAUUUACCAUUAAUUAAAAAACAAAAAACGAACCCUAAUUGAACUAUCAAGAAACUUAAGUCCUGCAAUUUUUUUUGGUAUCUCCUUUCUCUUCUUUCGUUCUCUACAGCUUUUCAACCCAAUUGCACAAUUAAUUAAUUUUUUUUAAUGGGAGAAAAUGCAAUUUUCUUAUUUUGUAUUGGUUUGAUUAAAGACAACUUUUUGUACUUCUUUUGUUGGUUUGUUUGCUGUAAUCCUGAGUCUCUUUUUUUUUCUUUACUGUGCUCCCUACGCCCUGUUGGAUUUGAUCUUUUAGACUUUUUUUUGGCUUUGUUUCUCCUGAUGAUACCAAAACAUUGAAAUCCAAUUCAAAGCCAGACAGAAAACCAACUAGUUUCGGUGAGAAAGGGGAAGUUCUGAAUUGUUGCAGAGAUAGGAAGAAAACCAAAAAAACAUAGAAGAUCAUGUAGAAGGGACCAAUAAAUAAGAGCUUGUAGCUGGGACAAAAAAUAAGAGAAAAGUAUGCCAUCAAACAACCCCGGAAUCCAGAUAUAUUGAAACAUGAUUUCUCUUUUAUCUAGAGGAAAAGCACGCCCUCCGUUUGGAUGAAGAAAUUGAAACUUACAUAGAAUUUUAAAAUGACGGAAUUUCGAUUUCCAUCAUUUCAAUUUAUGGCAAUUGAAGAUUUUAGUGUUUGGAUUUAUGUAUGUUGAAUUUUGUAAAUGACGGAAUUUUGUACAUAGUACUAUGGAAAUUGUGAAAUAACGCCUAUUUUGAUGGAAAUUAAACUCGAGAAUUUGAUGCUCCAAUUUCCAUCAUUUUUUCCGCGCUUCAUUUAAUAAAUUCCGUGCUUAACUUGCCAAACAAAGGAAUUGUCAAUUUCUCCUCUUAAAUUCCCAAUUUUUAGCUAAAUUCCAAGCUGUUUUCUCUCAUCCAAACGAAAGGCAGGAAUACCUUUUUUUUUUUUUUUUUUUUUUUUUUUUUGGGUUUUUGAAACCACCCUCUUCAUGGAUAUGGGAAGUUAUUUUUUUUAUCUUGUAGAAAGGAAAGAGAAGAGAUUACAGAGGUUUUGGGAAAGGAAAUCUUGCAGAGGUCGUUAGUUGUGUUAGGGUUUUUUUUUUGUUUGUUUUUAAAUUCGUAGUAAAUUGGGUUUUUGUUUUAAAGAUAUAUGUCAAAUUUUAAACUCUUUAGAUUAAAUUAUAAUGAGUUGGCGUGUUGAGAAUAAAAGUCAAGCAGAUCAUGUUAGGGAAAAGCAAAGCAGCAGAGGAUCCGAAUCCAUUUAUAGAAUAGGUUUGCGUAUUUGUAAUGGUAAUCGUCUUUGAUGGUAACGGUUAUGAUAAUGAGUUUUGAUGAUUGAGGUCAUCGCCUAUUGGGCUUUUAUGAAAAAAGACCACUUCACAAUCUAUUUCAGUUAAUUCACUCAAAAAUAAAAUACAUAUUAUUUCUUUUACAUAAGCGAUUUUAGGUAACGAAGGAGAGGGCCUGGCUGCAAGGGUUAUUGAUACACAACAGGUACAUAGGACAAUAUCUAAGGAAGAGAUGUUGCAUCUUUUUGAAUUCGGUGAUGAUAAGAACCAUGAGCUUGGCCAAGAUAAUGGAUGCUCGGACCAAAAUAUUGCUAAAAUAUGAAAACUAUGAGAGAAUAUUUGUUUGUGGGAAUUUUCUGUGUAUUCUUCUCCUUGUAGGAGGUCAUAUUUAUAAUACAAGGAAACCUGAAUGGGCAAGUAAAUAAUAAAUUCCUAAAUCUAUUUGCAGUAGGAAAUCAGGAAUUAAAGUAAAUCAAUUACAAUUAUAAUAGGAAUUCUUGGUUUCAAGAAGAUGUCGAUUCUUUCGUUCAGCAACACCAUUUUGUUGUGGUGUCUGAGGACAAGUCGUCUAAUGGAUAAUUCCAUGUUGUUGGAAGUAAGCCUGAAAGUCAUGAUUGACAAAUUCUCCACUAUUGUCUGAGCGAAGAAUCUGGAUUUGAGCAUUAAACUGAGUUUUCAUCUGUUUGUGGAAGGACUGAAAACAGGAAAACACUUUGUUUUUAUUCUUCAGCAAAUAAAGCCAUGUCAUCCGUGUACAAUCAUCGAUGAAUGUGACAAACCAUCGAACACCAGAAGGAGCAGUGAUAGGAGAAGGUCCCCAGACAUCAGAGUGAAUUAACAUAAAUGGAGUAGUCACUUGUUCGUACUCAAUGGGUAGGGCACACGGUGACUCUUGGCCAAAAUACAAGUAUCACAUGUGAAGUCAGAGUCCUUGAAACCUGAGAAUAAAUCUGGUAUAAGAUGCUUCAUAUAACUAAAAGAUGGAUGUCCCAAUCGACGGUGCCACAACCAGAUUUGCUUUUGUUUGCUAUCAAAUGGAUGUGUCACGCUGUUAGCCAUGCCGGGACUGAAGUCAUCGACAUAAUAUAGCCCCCUCUCUUAGUACCACGACCAAGAAUCUCCUUAGUGUGAAUAUCCUGAAGCAAACAAAAACUCUGGUAAAUGAGUACACAACAAUUCAUUUGUUCAGUAAGCUAACUAACUGACAACAAUUUAGUGGAUAAAGAUGGAACAAGCAAAGUAUUAGACAGUGUGAGAGAGGAUGAGAGUGCAACAGUGCCAGCCCCUGUCACAGGAUAAGUAACACCAUUGGCAUUUGCAAUACAGGUUCGUCGAGGUUGUGUAGUAUUCAAAAAAUCAUCAGGAUCAAACGUCAUAUGAUCAGUUGCACCAGAAUCAAUUAUCCAGCUCCUGGAAUCAAUCUUAUCGGAAGUAUGGAAUCCAUAACUAGUACCAUUACUUGUCAUAUUACAUUGUCCUUGAUCUAUAAGAGUAGCCUACCAAUUGGGGUAGCCAUGCGAUUUAAAACAAGUCUCACAAGUGUGUCUCGGGUCACCACAAUAUGCGUAAUCUGGUCCAUGUGUCGGGGUCGUUAGUCUAGAAGUCAUAAUCUGUGCAGCGGAAGAUGCAUAGGAUACAAGUUGAGUAGGAAUUGAGAUCGGAAUCUGAGCCUGAGUCGGGGCCGGAGUCGGAGUCAAAAUCGAGAUCAGGGUCUGAAUCAGAGACAAAUUCGAGGUUGGGGUCAUCAUCGGAGUGGGGGUUGGGGUCGUCUUCGAAGUCGGGGUCGGGGUCGUCGUCGUCAUAGUCGGGGUCGAGGUCGGGGUCAUCAAAAGAGGAUCCUGAUUCUGGAUCGGGUUCGGGGUCAAAGUCUGCAUCUGUAGGAGCGGAGCCAUCUGGGCACUCAACUCAACGAUGGUUGGUUGAGAAUGAGAGAAGGAGUCGGUGGUGCUACCUCCAUGAGGGUUGAAAAAAUCAUCACCAUAGCAGCGGCGGGGGUUUGAAACUAGAGUCAACAAUUCCAAGAUCGCCGCUCUGAUACCAUGCUAAAAUAUAAAAACUAUGAGAGAAUAUUUGUUUGUGGGAAUUUUCUGUGUAUUCUUCUCCUUGUAGGAGGUCAUAUUUAUAAUACAACGAAACCUGAAUAGGCAAGUAAAUAAUAAAUUCCUAAAUCUAUUUGCAGUAGGAAAUCAAGAAUUAAAGUAAAUCAAUUACAAUUAUAAUAGGAAUUCUUGGUGUGUAAGGAAAGUAAGUCAAUAUCCACAAGUCACGCCAACAAAUAUGACUGGUGAAGUUGAAAUUUUGCCUCAACACAAAGUGCCUCUUUCUCAAGGAAGUUGCUCUUUUGACAAUGCUAAUAGAAGGUUUACUUGGCAAGCACCAUCCAAGGUAUGUUUCCAUGUUCUUAGUAUUUUCAUAAUCUAUUGGUAUAUGAUUUGGUUGCCUGGUUACGGCGGCCACCGUUGGCAACUUUACCCUCCUCACUCACUCUCUUACGGAUGAACUACCUCGUUUUCAGGUCCUGCCUUGCCCUUUUCGAUAUCCAGUUUGGCGGCUUGGGAUAGUAUAGCUCCUCCUGACUUUGGAGUAAAUAUCAAACUAUCCCAAAUGAGUCUCUUCAAUGGUUGUGCACGUACCAAAAUAAGAUUUGCGAACAGCGCUGCGGUUCAUAUAAGCCAGCAUUUGUGCUAAUAGUUUGUUUUGGGCUGUUUUUGAAAGAAAAAAAGAGAGAGAGAGAGAGUUUUUCUAUUUGAAAUUUUGAACCCAGCAUUGGUCUUUUCAGUGUUCCAAAAUUGCCCAUAUAUGAUAUACCCACACCAAAUCCAACCCUUUCAAAUUGAAACCCAGGAAAACCUAACCCAGUCACCGCUCUCCUGCCGCACUGCCAUUGCAACAUGGGAUGAUAUGUUUUCCUUUGCUUAAUCUUAAUCCACAUGAGAGCAAAAUUCUUUUUUCUUUUUUCUUUCUGAUCUUGGGCAAUAUAUCCGGAUAUUAUUUGAACGCAAAAACCUAGCCACAUGUAUAGCCUUGACCUUGGGCAAUAUAUCUGGAUAUUUAUUGUCCUUUUUUUUUUUAAUCUGUUCCAUUGACCUCUUUGGGGAGCUGCACUGCAUGAAAGCCUUUUGCAUUGGAGUCAAAUAAACUUGGGAAUUAUACUCUCAAUCUCAACGCGAAAGCCAUGUAGAGGCAGUAUUAUCAAGGCAAAUCCAACGUGGAAUUACCGUAAUGUUAUAUUUAAAUAAAAAAACAUAUUUCUCCCAAUAUCUCGCUGCACUAUGCUGCAUUAAUUAAAAAUAAAAUAAAAGCUGUAUAGGUGAUAAAUAAAGAAAGGCCGUCGUUUAUACAAACAAGAGACGACCCCACAAAUAAAAAACUGACUUGUCUCCUUUCAUUUAUGUUGGAGUCUUUUUUCCUUAAAUAUUUCAUUUAUUGUUCUUCAGGCUAGAUGGAAUAAGAAAGAAAGGCAAAAGCUGGUUGAGCGCUUUAAAGAUAAAGAGGGCCAACUGCACUGCACUCUGAUCAGAUAGCUAGAUAAUAAUACUCUACUGUAGGUAGAUGAUAUUGCUUAGUGAAGGAUUAAACAUGUCAUUACAUUGGAAUACAACAAAUUAAGCAUCUCAAAAAAUAGAUGAUAAAUUUCUCAGAAGCAGAAUCCAUUCAUCAAUUCCUAGUUAUUUAGUUAUAGAAUUGAUCAUCUUGUAGUGCAGUGUAAACUCAUGGAUUAAACGACCACAACUGGAGCAGCAGAACCCAACAUUCAUUUUCGAGAUUGUUCAUCAUAACCUCAACGCCUCAACACCUUUAAUCGCUUGAAUGUAAUUUGCAAGCCUCCUUACACGAGGUGCCGGAGGCAUGUUAUGAACAAUGCAGUCUUCCACAACGGCAACCUGGACGUGUGGGGAGACCAGAUAAAAUAAAUUUCCAAACACAACCAUCAAAAGUAGGAAAAAUAACACACUAACCUCUGGGCAAAGAUAAAUGUUACAGCAUGUCAGUUUUUCAAGUUCCUGCAUCCCAAUUACAUUGUAAAAACAAAAGAACAAAUAUAGAAACGACAAGCAAAAAAAUGUAAAUGUGAUCUAGGACGCUUUUAUGCACCUGUACCGGGAGACUCAUGAGCAGUUUUUUUCCUGAAAACAUACUUAUCCUGCACACAGACACAUUACAAGAUAUUAAAAAAAAAAAACAUAUAACUAAGCUUUUGCAUAUGUCCAGCCUAACGAAGAGUUGUUGGGUCAUAAUUUUUGUAGGAUAGAGAGCAGAACACCAGAAAGUCCAUAUUCCUCAUUAUUGCCACAUUAGUUCUUGUAUCACCAUACCCUAACCAAUUCUAAACCUUUCUAAGGUGAAACAACAACUCUAAAUGCCAUGUUAUAGUACUCCUGAAAUUUAAAGAUGCUGCUUCAUAACUACAUAAGAAUGCUUAAAACGAAAUAAAAAAAUAGAAGGAAACUUAAGAAAUACCUACCCGCUUGAUAUCAAAUUUUUGGCAAAAUCCAUCGAAAACAUACCCAGUGUAGACGAGGUAGCAUGGCAUUCCAUUCAGUACUUUUACUGCCUGGAUCAAAAUGAUACUGAAAUCAGAAGUUUAAUAAAUAGAAGAAUUCUUUUUUCUUCUUUUUUUUUCCCUUAAACAGUUCAAUGAGAAUAGAAAACCUUGGAGGAUUCAAGCAAAAAGGAAAGCCAACGUAAGUUUUUAUAAUUUAAGUUAGAUAAAUUGAACAUAAGCUUUUCAUUGAGAUGUAAAUAUUCUAACAUAAAAUAACAUAUAUAAGCAAUUAGCAUUCAGCGUCCAAAUAUGAUUGGCAUGCCGUUGCCUUGAGGGAGAUGAAUUACAUUGAAGUAAUAACUUACUAACUUAGCAAAUCAAUUGAACUUGAAGAAUAGAUAGGUUACAGAUAAGAAACAAUAACAUAAGAUUUGACAUUUGUACCCGAAGUGGAGGAACUCCUGCUGACAAAAGUCGAAGAAGAUAUCUAGAGUCUGUUAAUGUGCAAAAUGGUAAACUGAUUUAGUAUGUAAUUGUUGGUUUAGUGUUAUACUUAGCUCAUAGGCUAAGCUGUCUAUAAUAGUCAAAACGGUUUGUUAAGUCUCAUAGGACUUGACUGGACAGGUGUCAUAAUCUUACCCAUAGUGUAGUUGGAUGGUUGAGAUUGAAGCUAGGAUUUGUCUAGCUCUCUCUCUCUCUUCUAACUGUAAUAUGAGCUGUGAGUGAUACAGCUCGAUAUACACAACAACAAAUAUACGAAAAAGUUUUUACAGAGCAUUAUUAUUCUCUUCACUCUCUUCUUCAAUAUUCUCAGUUUCCUCCAUUUUUAUCAGUAGCUUAUUAAACACUAACAUGGGAUCAGAGCCAGGUUGGGUCUGAAUUUCUAGGCGUUGUGACUGUGAGGUUGGGUUUGAAUCUCUGAGCAAAAGCUUGUUGUGUGAUUCUUGAGCUCAAAUCAGUACUCUAGACUAACAUGUCUGGAUCUGGAGGAGGAGAACUCAGGGCACCCAUUUUUAAUGGUGAAAAUUUUGAUUUCUGGCAAAUCAAAAUGAAAACCAUCUUCCGUUCGCACGAGCUGUGGGAUCUUGUGGAGAAUGGGUACAAAACUCCGACGAAGGAGGCGGAGGAGCUCACGGAGGCAGAGAGGAAGCUGAUGCGUGAGAACUUGGUGAAGGACGCUAGAGCUCUAGGUAUCAUCCAAGGGGCUGUAUCAGAUCAAAUUUUUCCACGAAUUGCAACUCAGGAAUCUGCAAAGGCUGCGUGGGAUAUUCUGAAAGAAGAAUUUGUGGAUGAUAAGCAGGUAAGAUCUGUGAAACUUCAAGGUCUUAGGCGUGAUUUUGAAUAUACUCGGAUGAGUGAUAAUGAAUCUUUGUCUGGAUAUAUUGCUAAGUUGUUUGAUCUGAUCAACCAAAUGAGGAGCUAUGGUGAGGAUCUGAGCAAUCAACGAAUUGUUCAGAAACUGCUUAUUAGUCUGCCUAAGUCCUAUGAUAGUAUUGCAAUUGUGAUAGAGAAUACAAAAGAUUUAGACACUAUUGAUGCUCAGGAUGUUGUUGCCAUUUUAAAAGGAUAUGAACAGAGGCUUGAUAGGCAUGGUGACAAUAGUGCAGAGAAGGCUUUUGCUAGCUUCAACGUUGGAUCAAAGGCAACACGGUCUAAUAGUCACACCAGUAAGUCUCAGAAGAAUGCCAAACCACAGGGGCAGCAAUGGGGCAACAAGGGUGAUGGAGGUAAUAAGUCUAAUUCCUCUGUGAAAAAUGAGACAGACAACACUGGAAAUAAAUGCAAAUUCUGUGAUAAAUUGCACUAUGGAGAGUGUUGGUUUAAGAACAAGGUCAAGUGUCACAAGUGUAACAAAAUUGGGCAUAUUGCAAAAUAUUGUCAUACAAACAAGGCUGUGCAGCAGGUGAACUGUGCUAAUCAGGUUGAAGAAACCGGAAACUUAUUCUUUGCUAAUCAUUCUGGAGAAGUAAAGAAGAUGAGUGAUGAAUGGUACAUAGAUAGUGGAUGUAGCAAUCAUAUGACAUCCAGGGAAGACUUGCUUGUAGACAUUGUCAGAGGAGUGAAAGCAAAGGUUCAAGUAGGCAAUGGAGUUUUAGUUGAAGUGGCAGGAAAAGGGACACUGAUCAUUGAAACAAUGAAGGGUAAGAGGUAUAUAAAGGAGGUUAUGCUUGUACCUAGUCUAGCUGAAAAUUUGCUAAGUGUAGGACAGAUAACAGAGCAUGGCUAUUUUCUUGUAUUUGGAAAUCACAAGGUUGACAUCUUCGAUGAUAGUUCCCUAAGUAACAUGGUGGUAAGUGUAAAGCAAAAGGGGAACAGGUGUUUUCCUUUAACUUUCAACACAAUCAAGGAGAUUGCCUUGAAAACAAAUGUGCAAGAAUGCUCCAAGAUAUGGCACAAGAGGUUUGGGCACUUAAACUUUCGAAGCCUCCAGCUGCUGCAGUGAUCCUAACCAUGGUUAUAAAAAAAAAACUUAAUAUGUGCAUAACUAAAAAUACUCAAUAUGAGCACAAAUUUAAAAGCAACAUUUAUUAUAACAUACCAAAUCCAAUGCACAUGAAAUGCCAUACUCUUUUAAAGCAGAUUUUAGCACUGGCCAAGCUUCUUGCAAAUCUUUUGCUGUGAAAAAACAACGCCAAGACUCAUAGGUAAGAAAGCUUUGUUCUUCUGCAAAAUUAUCAUAGUAAUAGUCAUAUUUAAGAAAACUCAUGAAUGGAAUAACUUAGAUGGAAAAUUAAACAGAAAAUAGGACACAAAGAUGAACGAGUUAAUUUCAUACACAACAACCUUGACAAUUUGAAAUAGUCUAAUCCCUUUUAUUUCAAUUUCAGAGACGAUUGUUUUACUUCAUCUGAGUGGCCCAAACACAGCAAGGAAGAAUUACAACACCCAAGUUUACCAUAAUUUUUAUUUUCAUCAGAUAUCUAUGAUCAGAAUGAAACAGAUUGGGUCAGCAGUCAGAACCCAAUAUGUAUAUAUAGGUGCAUGAGAGAGACAAUAUAUUAAAGUGAUCAAUGAUUUCUUCUAAUUAUUUGGCUCUUCUAGAGUCUUCUAUGUUGCUCACAUCCAACCCCCCACCCCAAGUAGCGGGCUGCUGCUGCUUCUUCUUCCGUGAGUUACUGCUGCCUCAGAUAAAUCUUAUUGCCCAGGUACCUACUCGGGAAUUUUUUUAUAUAAAAAGGAAAAAGAAAAAUAGUCUUGGUUUUUGUCUGAUUUAGGGUUGUAAAUUAGCAUAAUUUAAUCAGGGUUUUAGAUUUACUUUAAUUUAGCCAUUAAAACUAGGCUACGAAUUUCAUCCAUCAAUCUCAUAUAAUCAUUACUAGAACAAAAUAAGAAAACGAAAUGUUAUUUGCAGUAAAUUGAUGAGAAAGGCAACAAAAAGGAAGAAUAAGAAGAAGAGAGAGAUACCCGUGCAUAUAUUAAUGGGCAUACGGAGAACGCUCAAAUCAUAUGGGCAGUAAGACUUGGCCUUCAUGUUGUAGGCGAUUAUCUCCUCCAUGUUGACCUUGUUUGUCAUCGUAGCUAAUUGUUUGGAUACUUGUUCAAUCCCUAGCCUACGCACAGACAGAGAGAAUGUUUGGGUAGUUGUUGAAAGCCUAGGCACUGACAAGGCAGAGAGAGAGAAUGUUACCCUUGGCACAGACACAGAGAGAGAAUGAGUUUCUGUCAACGCCGUGAAAACUAAGAACGUGCUUUUUGGUGGGGUAUUUAUACGAGGGUGACGUGUCUAUCAUAUUUAUAUGGGAAAGGCUGAAUGCGAGAGAAAAGUAUUUGCUGGGGAAGUCCACAUAGGCCAAUGGGUUUUGAUGGGCUUUGGAUUUCGAAUAGGUCUGCGUAUUUGUAAAGCUAAUGGGUUUUGACGGUUGAGGUCGUUGCCUAGACUAUUGGCUUCUAUGAAAAAAGACCGUUUCACAGUUUAUUUCAAGCUAAUUGACCACCCCUCCCCCAAAAACCCAAAAAGACAACACAUUGUGUAAAGAGAACAUUUUAAUCAUUUUUCUAAAAAAAAUUUUAAAAAAAGAAGAAAAAAAUACCAACGACAUUCGGAGAAGCAAGAAUUGAACUUAGAGCCUCUAGUGUAACGGUAAAUACUCUUAGCACUCAAACUCCUUGCAAUGACAAUUGUUUUCAGCUAAGGCAAACGACCUUGGUUUAAAUUGGCGAAAAUUGCAAAGUACACCAUAUCAUUUCUACCCUACUAACAUGACAAAAAACAUCCAGGGCAUUUUUGAAUAUCCCACUCCGUUUGUGUUUGUGACCUCCCUUUCUAUGCUGGUAGGAGGCACAACUAUGAAAUCAAGGAAAGACCUGAGCUUCAGCAUUUGUAUUAAACAAAGAAAAAAAAUUGUGCAGGGAUUUCUUUAAGAAUGUUUAUUCUGCAUGCAGCAUGCUCUGCAUUGUAUUGGAUGAACCUAGCUGUAUACAUUGGAUUUAAGUUAUUGUCUGCCCAAGGGAAACUCGGCUGUAGUGAAUAAUAAUAUACCACACCCUAUGACUGUUAAGUAGUCGCAAGUCUGCUGCAUACACAUGCAAUUGACAUUUCAAACAGAGAGUGCAUCCACCACCUCAAUAUCUUGCAAUAUUAUCCUACUUUCCCAAACCCUUGAAGGUAAAAGGGACUGUGACAAUCUCGAAGAUGCAAAAACUUCUUGCAUGGUUACCCAAAGAAAACCAAGGAAAGAAAAUCAUUAGCAUCUUUCAUCUCCUAACCAAUUGUCCUUUUCCUUAGGGCCUGUUGGCCCUUCCUCUCCAUAGAGUUGAGUAGGAAACAAAUCAAAUAGGUUCUCCACUGAGAAUCGAACAAAGAAUGGAAGAUGAUCAAUCAACUUAUCUAGUUCCGAUCGAGAAUCAUACACAAUGGUAGGACCCCAGUCACUCAUAUACUGCAACCAACAUGGUUCCGAAAUAACACCAUCACCAAGGUACUCAGCUGCUACAAUUUGAUACUUGGUGCUCGAAUCAAUACAAAACUUGCUCCGAGCAGCAUCAUUCCUCACUCCAAUGUCAAACUUCGAUGACCCCUGAAGGUAGGUUCCAGGAUGGGGGUAGCUACUAUGACCAUAUUUUGAAGAAUAAACAAUUGGCUUAUUCCCUUCAAUGAACUCUAAGUCAGAAACAUCCACCCAUCUACCACCACUGUGCUCUGAGAAAUACGCUUGCCAGAGUUCUCCUGUGAAGUUGCUCACUCGUAGAGUGAAGUGUUCCCAGUCACCAACAUGUUGCCCUAUCUUGUUCAUUGCAAUACUUACUAAACCAAUCUUAAUGGUGGCUGGUCCGUUGAAAGGACAGAACACCCACAUAGCAAUAUCAGUAAAAGUUCCCCCUAGAGCCGGUUUUACAUGAACAUAUAGCUCCGCACUCUCUAUGUUUCCGCCCUUGAGAUGAUUUCUAGCAUCAUCGUCAUUUGGCAAAUCUAUCCAAAAAUCACUAUCGUUUUCCCCUCCACUAGGCAAAUUGGAGCCUCUGUAAUCAAUGGGUUCACCAUUCCCAGAGUCUUCGUGGUACAAAAGUGCCCCAUUUUUGAAAAACCAUUGCACUGAUGAUGGCAAAUAAACCUCAUCAGGAUGGAAGAAUACCGUGGGGCCAUAGUGCUCAAUGAGCGCAUGAAUCUGGUUCAGAUUUGGCAUUGCAUGUAGGGACGAAUCAAUAUUCUUCAAGCACGCAACUUCUAGUUCAUCAUCAGAAUCCAGGUAGGUACUGCAAAAGAAUGUACCAACUGAAACACCACUACACAACAUACCCCGUUUGCAGGGUCUUGUGUUCCACACCUGAAAUUGCUCCUCCGACAACUUUGAAUCCAUGGCAAGUACCCGAUCACGUGUUUCACAAGCCUCUGUAAGAUCUUCUCGUACACAUCUCACUUCUUCAGGUCUGGGCUCCUCGGAGUUGUCAGUGACCACAAAGCCCAUGGCCUUAUAACCCACAGGUGGGUUUGGCAACCAAAUAUAACCACACCCAUUUUUAUUUGAGUCCGCAUUCCAGACUAAUGAGUAGUUAACAGGCUUUCUCAAAGCUGGUAACUCUAAUACUGAGUCUUGGGUACAACCAUCUUCCAGACUUGUGGCAACCGUGUCACGAGCCACAAGAACAUACCCUCUCAAAGGCUGAUCAUUGGGCUGGCAGUAGUAACCGAGGCAAAAGAAGUCAUCAGGGAUCCCUGCAGGUCUGUAAAAUGUGACACCUUUUGAUUUUCCAUGCAACAGAUUACAGCUCCAGAUGCUCUCAAACUUGGUGAUCUGGAUAACUUCAAUUUCUCCUAGGCACAUUCUUCCAGUAGCAAAACCUCUGCCUGAAGAAAUGACAGUACACAUUUGUCAGAAAAUGGGCUCAUAAUGAUAAGUUAAUAUUUAUAAUGACGAAUACAGAUGCAGUGGGCCCUACAAGAGUGUCCCUCAAAUAAGCUUACUUGAAAUACAAAACGGAGUGGGCCCUGCAGGAGUGUCUCUCAAAUAAGCUUAUUUGAGGGAUCCCUCAAAUAGGGGGAGAGAGAGAGAGAGUUUUUCCUUCCCCUUUGGGCCAGAGUUCACACAACGCAUCAUUUUUUAAAGAAGGCUUUUUAUCGCAAAUGAUCCCUGAGGUUAAUGGUCCUUAAGGUUACUCUCUAUACAUCCCUCCCCCCUCCGCUCCCCUCCGUCUCCCCCUCUUCUCUCUCUCCCCCUCCGCCCUCUUUCUCUAUGUUCUCUCUCCAGAGCCGCAACACGACUCUCUCUCUCUCUCUCUCUCAAAAGAAAUAAUCAAGAAAAGAAGAUGGCAUCAAAUGCAAAAUUGGUCACGGGCAUUGAGUUGAGUGAGAGCAGAAGAAAGGGCUCUUACACUGCCAAUGGUUUCCCUACCCAAAAAAAAAUUCAAACUUUAAAUUUAAAACACUUGGGUAUGGGAUUUGGGUGUUGGGGUGGGGUGGGUUGUGGGUGGGGCUGGGGUUGAGGGGUGAUUUGGUUCGUGGAAGGGAGAGAGAGAUGGCUGCAAUUUUUAUUUUAUUUUAUAAAUUGAAGUUAUAAUCUCCUUUAUCUAAUUUCUUUUUUUAAUUUAUAGAUUUUAAUUUUUAUGGUAUAUUUUAUUCAUCAAAAUCCACUUGGCUUUAUAUAAUUGGAUGUGUGGGCUCCAUAUAUGUGCCAUGUCAGCACUUUAACAGAAAAUUUGACGGAAACUAAUGGUAGGGACCAAUUUGAUGUAGGGAGAGUAACCUUAAGGACCAUUAAUGUGACCCAAAAAAAAAACAUUAAUGAUGAAAAGUGAUAAUUUAGGAACCAUUUGCAAUAAAAAGCCUAUAAAGAACUUAAAAUUGAGCUUCUACAAUGAAGUUAAAGUUAGAGACAAACUUCAAACUUUUACAUGCGACUAAGGAAGAAUAUGGAAACUUUCAAAUUCCAAAAACUCCAACUUUCAAGGCAUUUCAGGAAUUUGUUGACCAUCAAGUUCGUUCAUUUCAUUGUUUUAUUUUUUUACUGGCAUGAAGGUGAAAAGCAUAUACACAGUGAAUCAGACUCAUUCAAAAUUUCAAUUGUUCUAAGAUGAGUUGUUUAUCUUCUUUCUGGGAUGUUUGAGUGGAUGGGGCAGGUUUUCCAAUAUGUGGAACUCAAGUUGCCACCGACCACGGCCGGUAGCUUCUGGGAAAUACCAAAAGCCCAUUAUUUACUCGAAACAAAGACAACAAACUAAGGACCACCAACUAAAGAAAAAAGAAAAAGAGAGAACAAGCAUAUGCAGAACAUAUUCUGAUAACCCCCACCAAAAAAAAAUAAAAAAAUAAACAGAAGAUGAAAGAAAUCAAGACAAAUACAAUCUUAGCAAAGCUCAUGAAGCCAUCUGAAUGCAAAUAAUUCUUCUUAAGAAAAUAGAAACCUUCAUUUCUUAAAAGAAUAAUAAAUAAAUAAGGAAACAAAUUGCAACAUAUAACUGUGUAAGUUGAGGAAAGAAAGGAACUUAGUGGCAUACCUUGAGGCCAGUGUGGGAGAGGUGAAGGCAGAGAGAAGGGCUCUGGCUCAGAGUAAUCAUACAACUCAUAGUCAAACUCACUGCUCCAACACCAAGAUUCACACCCAAACAUCUUAGCUAUAAAUAAGCUCUGCCAACUCUCACAAAUUCAACAACCCACAAAAGUAUUUGUCUUCAAGAUCAAUUAUGGUCCUCAGUCUCUCAAAUUCUUCUGCCCAUAUUUACUAACCAAACCCUCAAGGCUGAAGAAAAUUUAAAAGAGAAAGAAGGAAAGAAAGAAAGCUCUUCCCUCUCCCCCUCACUCAAUCAGCCAAUUUGUGCUUGAAACUUGAAUUAUUUGUGCAAGGGAAGAGAGCACAGAACCCGUGAGGAAAGAGAGAGAGACUUCAAAAGAGGUUGAGUGGAUAGAGAGGAAGCUGAGAGAGAAAGAGAAAGAAGAAAAAGGAAAAGAAGGGAAAGGACGUUGUUGAAUGCUUGUUUUUGUCUGCUUUGCGUACAAUUUUCUAUUUGGAAAUUGGAAGGUGGGCUUUGUUUCAAGCUUUCUUCAUUCAUUUCGGAAGCCAAAACGACCACCAAUAAUUGUCUCCCUCCAACUUGAUAAGGAAAACGGUGAACAGUCCUCUCUCAUGACUCAUCAUUCGCAACUCACUCUCCAUUUUGUCGAGGUUGUGACCACGCUCCAAGUUAUUUAAUUUUACCAAACCAAAAAAUGUAUUUCAUUUUAUUUUGGCUUCUUUAAGAGGUGUAUUUCUGUAAUUUACUGAAGAAAAAAAGAGAGCAUAAAGAUAGGAUAUUCUAAACAAAAUAGUUUGUUUUUCAAGUUAUCAUCAACCACCUUAACCACCUUAACUACCUUUUUUGUUGUUGUCAGAAUAUUAUUAACCACCAAGCUUAGAUGUUAAUAAUCUCAUGCUCCUAAAUCAAGUUGGGUUUCACAUUAUGAGUGUCAUAUGUUAAUUAUAGUUAACUAAAUAGAUUAACUGCAGCAUUAAAUUUAGGCGGCCAUAAAAUAUGACACUUGAGGAUAUUGUCAAUGGAUUUUUGGCGUGGAGUUGUGGCUGAACCCUCAAUCAAAAGUCUAAAGCCGCCUCACCUGACUUCGCUUAAAGAAAAUUAAUACAGAACGAACAGCCUCCUAUACAUACUAUGUCAUGGUCGGCCAAAAAUUAUUUACGAAAAAAAAUUAAAGAAAUCUAAAUAUUUAAUAAUCUUCCAAGGAAUAGUGACUAGAUUGAAUUUGUCACACUUUCACUUUGAUUCCACCAACAAAUAAUGAUAUUUUUUUUAUAAAGAAAUUUAAUAAGACAAAAUUGCUAAACUAAUUGUAGCAAUAGUCUUUGAAUUAUACUCAAUUUUCAUUACACCCGUCCGCCAAUUCGAUCUCCUAUUGCAUCAUUCGUCAUUUCCGUCAGAUAUGUCAAGUUUUUCAUUUAAAAUGAUUAUAUGGUAUGCAAAUUAGGGUAUAAUUAAAGGACUAUUGCUUAUAAUUAAGCCUUUAAAAACCAGAAAAGAAAAGAGGAAGACAAAACUGAUUAUAUUGGGCUGAACAAAAGCUUCUUCUACUUUGGGCUUAAAUUGCAACAAAAUUCUGACACAAGAUUUUUGGGCCAUUGGCCGCCAAUUGGAUCAAGACCUGAAACCCAACUUUAAACCCUUUUCAGUUCACUUCACCUUCAGCUUGCUCUGAGUUCUGGUUAAUCCUUUAGAAUUUUGGAAAGGGAACGACAAUAACAAUGGCUAGCUUCAGCUGGAACACUCCUUCUCCUUAGUCGCUGGUCCUUCACUUGUCUUCAUGGACACCAUUCUCGCCUUUCGUCCCCUUCCCAACUGUUUCGCCCCACUUCGAAAUCAUCCCUUCUCAAUUUUCACCACAAACCGCCGUAUCAGAAUCCAAACAUUCGCUUCCAAAUUCCCCAACAGCCCCCGAAAUCCAAUCCCAAUUCCGUACAAUCCCCGCUCCUUCAGCUUUCGAGAAGCUUCCAGAAGCUCGAAGGAAGAACAAAGGCCACUUCUUUCCGCCGAAUGCAUUGCGAGGCAGUUAGUGUUGGCGCUCUUCUGUUUCGCAAUCGGUUUUGCUCCGUUUCGGACGGCUCGUGCCAUCGCUGCUCCGGUGGUUUCAGAGGCUGUUUUGGAUAAGGAAGUAAAUUCAAAGGGUCAUGAGUAUUCAAAGUACACGAAGAGGUUGCUGGAGACGGUGUCUGUGUUGCUGAAGAGUAUAGAGGAGGUUAGAAGAGGAAAUGGGGAUGUGAAGCUCGUCGAGGCAGCAUGGAAGGCGGUGAGAGAAAAGAAAGAGGAGUUACAAGAGGAGAUAUUGGAUGGUCUCGAUGGGGAGCUAAGGGAGCUGAGGAGAGACAAACAGGUGCUGGUGAAGCGGUCUGAUGAUGUUUUCGCCGAGGUGGUGAAGGUGAAGAGGGAUUUGGAUAAGUUGGUGGGCAAUGUGGGUAAGGAGAAGGUGAAGGAGAGGGCGGAGGGGAUGUUGGGAAGAUUAGAGGAGGAGUAUAAUGAGGUUUGGGAGAGGGUUGGAGAGAUUGAGGAUCGGAUUUUGAGGAGCGAGACAUCAGCAAUGAGUUUCGGAGUGAGGGAGCUUUGUUUUAUUGAAAGGGAAUGCGAGCAAUUGGUUCAGAGUUUUACCCGCCAAAUGAGGAGGAAGGGGACUGAGAGGUAUUUAUUGCACGAUCAUAUGUGUGUUCAUGAUUUUGAAUAGGACUGAAAGUCAUAUAAAGAAUUCUUUAUUUUUGGUGAGAUAUGAUGUUGAAAGUGAUCAACUUUAUCCAAGUUACGUUGAUAUUUCACUUUAUAUACUGCUGCCAACAUACUUUCUGUAGACUCUGUUUACAUAAUGCCUUGCUAUAUAUGAAUAGUCAUUUACAGUUGGUGGUUUUGAUAAAUGAAUCACUACUUUAAUUUUUAUCAUUUUGCAAUGAUAUGAUGCUUGUUCUUCAACUUUGCAUGCAAUAUCUUUUUGGAAAAAGAAGAAGAAGAAAAUUUAGUAACCAAAAUUGUUGUGUGAGUAUAAAUUGUUAUGUGGUUGCAGUGUGCCAAAAGACCCGGUUACCAAGCUUUCUAAAUCUGAUAUACAGAAAGAUUUGGAAAAUGCGCAAAGGAAACAUUUGGAGCAAAUGAUUCUGCCAAAUGUUUUGGAAGUUGAUGAUCUGGGACCUCUCUUUUAUUCGACUGAUUUUGCUCAACGUAUAAAACAAGGUCUUCAAGAUUCAAGGGAGCUGCAGAAAAAGACUGAGGCUCAAAUAAGGAAAAAUAUGAAGAAGUUUGGCAGCGAAAGGCGUUUUCUUGUAAAAACACCAGAGGAUGAGGUAGUGAAGGGAUUUCCAGAAGUUGAGUUGAAGUGGAUGUUUGGAGAUAAGGAGGUUGUUGCUCCAAAAGCUGUUGGCCUCCAUUUGUACCAUGGGUGGAAGAAGUGGCGUGAAGAAGCUAAGGCAGACCUCAAAAGAAAUCUAUUAGAAAAUGUUGAUUUUGGUAAACAGUAUGUGGCCCAGAGACAGGUAACUUUUGCAUCCUUAUCUUUAGUGUCAAUCUUUGUUUUAAAUGGUUGUGAAAUAACAUAAAGGUUGAUUACUUUAGUAUGAAGUUAUAUGGAAUAGUUCGAUAGACCUGUUUUAUCUGCUAUUUAUCAAAUGUUGAUUGCAGGAACUUAUUCUUCUGGACCGAGAUAGGGUGGUGUCCAAGACGUGGCACAAUGAGGAAAAAAAUAGGUGGGAAAUGGAUCCAGUGGCUAUUCCUUUUGCCGUGUCAAAGAAACUGGUGGAGCAUGCCCGAAUUAGGCAUGAUUGGGCUGCCAUGUAUAUUGCACUCAAGGGUGAUGAUAAGGAAUAUUAUGUUGACAUUAAGGUAAGGCAUUUGCAUAGUUUGUUCAAUUUCUUGCUGUUUGUUAUUGUCAUUAUGUUUCUAAUCUUUAAAUUCUCAUUCAGGAAUAUGAAAUGCUAUUUGAAGAUUGUGGAGGGUUUGAUGGCCUGUACAUGAAAAUGAUUGCCUGUGGUAUUCCAACUGCUGUUCACCUGAUGUGGAUCCCUUUGUCUGAGUUGGAUUUCCAUCAACAGUUUCUCUUGACCCUAAGACUGUCUCAUCAAUGCUUUAAUGCAUUGUGGAAAACAAGAGUAGUAUCAUAUGCAAGAGAUUGGGCUCUUCAGAAAUUCAGAAAUAUAAAUGAUGACAUAAUGAUGACAAUAGUGUUUCCCAUUGUGGAGCUUAUACUCCCCUACUCUGUAUGUUCAUAGCUCACCAGUUCAGAUGCUUAGUUUUACUAAGGUGAUUAUUAUUGUUGUUUUAAGUUCUAUCCCUGUUUCUUAUUACAGGUAAGGAUACAGUUGGGGAUGGCAUGGCCUGAAGAAAUUGAUCAAGCCGUUGCCUCAACAUGGUACUUGAAAUGGCAAUCUGAGGCAGAAAUGAAUUAUAAAUCUAGAAGAACGGAUGACAUCCAAUGGUAUUUUUGGUUUCUCAUUAGAAGUGUAAUAUACGGAUAUGUUUGUUUUCAUCUCUUCCGUUUUAUGAAGAGAAAAAUUCCCAGACUUCUUGGUUAUGGGCCAUUACGCAUAGAUCCAAACAUGCAGAAGUUGAAGAAAGUGGUAUUGCCUUCUUCCCUUUUCUGUUGACAACUUUAUAUUUGAAGCUGAUGACAAUCAAACUGUUGCUUAUGCUUUGGAGCAUUGUACUAUUCUUUCUUGACAUUUCCAUUGUUAUCUUACUUUGCUUUUUUUGAGGUUAAGCUAUAUAUAUUUCUUAUGGCUAGAACUCUAGCAAUUUUAAUGAUCGUACUGACUUGCAAUGCUGUAUUGUAAUUACUCUGUGAACUUGAGUGUUCUAUAAUAUUUCAAUGAGUUGAAUGUAUUUUUCAUGUCGAAUUUAUAUGUGCGGACAUGGUAUUAAAUGGUCUAGCAAAUUUGUUAAAAUAAUUUUAGUAUCAGAUUCUUUUGAGGCUGUGAGUAGUUUCUAUAUAUCCUCUGUUUUCAUUUUAGAUUGUGAAAGAAGAUGGGAUACUGGAACUUAGGUGGCCAUUGAAAAUCGAUACAAAUUUUUUUUUUUUAAACAGCCUUUUUGGUCUCUUAUUACUUAGCAUGGAAGUGAUAUGCAUAUCUAGAUCUUUUGCCAUAUUGUUUAGCUGCAUGAGUUUGCAUCUUUUAAUUGAUCCUCUCUUUUGCUCAUCUCUCGCAGAAAUUCUAUCUUAAUUAUCGGGUGAGGAAAAUUAAAGGCAACAAAAAGGCUGGUGUUGAUCCCAUAACACGGGCUUUCGACCAAAUGAAGGUUCAUAUUGGAACUUAAAAUUCUUCUGUACUUUGUAACUAGAUGAAUUUUGUGAAAUUAAAUUGUGAGAUCAAUGGCUGGUUGCAGAGGGUGAAGAAUCCACCAAUACCAUUGAAGGACUUUGCCAGUAUUGAAUCUAUGAAAGAGGAAAUCAACGAAGUUGUGGCAUUUCUGAAAAAUCCUGGUGCAUUUCAAGAAAUGGGGGCCCGUGCACCUCGGGUAUGUUAUUGCCAAUAUAAUUUUAGAUAUUUCCGGUAUAAACUAUAGGGUAUCCGUACGUAAUUUACUUUCAUAAACUAUUAUAGGUAAUUUGCUUUUCAAACUUCGUUUGAGAAUUUUUCAGCAUGAAAGUUAUGCUGCAUGCAAAAUACAUGAUAUUCGAAUGUUAGCUUGUGCUAUGAGCAUAUAUUGAUCUUUGUUCAAUUAGUCAGUAUAGGAUCCAUCUCAAGUACAUACGUUAGACUUCUUCUAGUUGCUGCUGUGGAUACUAAUUUAAUGGGUUGAUCAGCUUCUGAAAUCGUUUAUUCUUUAUAUUGCAGGGAGUUCUGAUUGUAGGUGAGAGGGGAACAGGAAAGACAUCUCUAGCACUGGCUAUAGCUGCUCAAGCUAAGGUUCCUGUUGUUAACAUUAAAGCUCAAGAGUUGGAGGCUGGACUGUGGGUUGGGCAAAGUGCAUCAAAUGUCAGGGAGCUGUUUCAAACUGCGAGAGAAUUGGUAGCUAGCUAUCUAUCUUGCUGAGUUACUUUAUGUGAAUUAUGAAAGAAAUAAUUUCCUUUACCUUUCUAUGUCUGUAUCUUUUGCUGAGCCAGUUUAUGUCAUUUCUAGGCACCUGUAAUCAUAUUUGUGGAGGAUUUUGACCUCUUUGCUGGUGUCCGUGGAAAAUUUAUUCACACUAAAAAUCAAGAUCACGAAGCUUUUAUUAAUCAACUGCUUGUGGAACUUGACGGGUAACCCUCAGCUCUUCUUUUGUUUAUUGGACUAACAAUCCUUGAAUAAGAUUCUUUUAUGGGCCUUUCUUUGGCCAUAUAUGAUUGUUGAGGUAAUGGGUAUUUUGUGUAGAGCUGAGUAUCCUUUUUGUAUGUAUAGAUAUACACUUGAUGUCAUUUUAGCUAAUAGUAACUGAAUAACGUAUCAGAGGUGUUGUUACUUUCCAUCUCCUUUGUCUGUCUAUGUUAGUAGUGGUGUUAGAAAUGAUCUGCAAUGUAUUCUACCCUUGAUGCAGGUUUGAGAAACAAGAUGGGGUUGUAUUGAUGGCUACUACUGGAAAUCUCAAGCAAAUUGAUGAGGCCUUACAGCGGCCUGGCCGCAUGGAUAGAGUAUUUCAUCUUCAAAGGCCAACUCAAGCAGAAAGAGAGAAGAUAUUACAUAUUGCUGCAAAAGAAACAAUGGAUAAUGAACUCAUUGAUUUUGUAGACUGGAGAAAGGUAAUAGCUGAAUCAGUUUCUGAUACUAUUUGUUUUCACACUAAAGCUGUUUUGAGGUUGAUGAGUUUCUUGUGUGGGAUUGUAACCUGGCGGUACACAAAUGCGUGUGGAUGGUUUCUAUUGCUCUCUGUUUUCUUACUGAGUUGUGAUGCCUUAUAUGUCCUCAAUAUGAGCAUUUGAGCUGUUGACAUCAUUGCUUAAAUCUUUUAGUCCCUUACUUACCCAGAUGAUUUUCAUUUUUGGGUUUUCUUGUUGCUUGUAGGAGUUGACAAGUUCUGUAAUUAUUUUCUGAAAUAUACUCCAUUCUCUACUUUUUCUAUCCAUAAGCUAUAUUACUCCAUCAUGCUAUAACAUGUAUACCUUCAUUAUAUGUCAUUAUAUUUAUUCUUAAAAGCUUUUCUAGAAAUUUGUACUUCACAUGUCAACAUUCUCCGCCUUCAGGUUGCUGAAAAGACAGCUCUUUUACGACCUAUAGAAUUAAAGCUGGUGCCUGCGUCCUUGGAAGGUGGUGCUUUUAGGAGCAAGUUUCUUGAUACAGAUGAACUUAUGAGCUACUGUAGUUGGUUUGUGGUAAGAAACAAUUGAUACAGUUGUCUCAUUGUCUUUGAAAGAAUCCAUUUCAUUUUUGUAUCCAUUUUGAGUGUGUCCUUAUUGCUUUUGCAGACUUUCAGCACUGUCAUUCCUGAAGGGAUGCGGAAAACCAAAAUCGUGAAGAAGCUAAGUAAAAUGCUGGUGAAUCAUCUAGGGCUAACGUUGACUAAAGAAGAUCUGCAGAGUGUGGUUGAUCUGAUGGAGCCAUAUGGUCAGAUAACCAAUGGAAUAGAACUUCUAAACCCUCCUCUUGAGGUAACUAGUUAUUACUGCAAGUGUUCUAUUAAUUAGUUCAAGAUACUUUCUUUUCAUCAAUUAGCUGUGAAUAGCUUGAGGACAUACUACUGUACUUUUCUUUCUUAAAACUUUUCACUGCUUUAAAUAAUUUCUUCUACUCGAUUGUCAUGGCACAGAGAAAGAAAUUAGAUGUUUGAAUUUGAAUAUACUAACAGUUUGUGGGCUGAAGUGGUUAUAUUACUUAGUUAACUUUGGCGGUUCCUUCCCUGACUUCCUUUGUUUAAUUGUUGCAACUUUGUAGUUAUCCUAGGUCAGGUUGUGCUUUGUAAAUCGAAAGUAGUAAGAAUAAUCUUGGAUUCAAGUCCUAAUGAUGUAUUUGUACAUCAAGAGUUUUCUAGUUUUCAUUGGGAAAAAAAAUUGUGAUUUCUAUUCAUUGUUUAUCUUUAUUAUUGUUAAACUUAAAAUACAUGUAAGUUUUCAGUUUUAUUUACUUCAGAAUUUUACAUGCGUACAAUCAUGAUGGAACCGUAGUUUCCUUUUGUUUCAAGAGUGAUUUAAUAUAAGUUCAUUAAUUCUCCAGUGGACAAUGGAUACCAAGUUCCCACAUGCUGUUUGGGCUGCAGGUCGAGGUCUCAUUGCCCUUCUAUUGCCAAACUUUGAUGUUGUAGAUAAUAUAUGGCUGGAGCCAUUGUCUUGGCAGGUUUGUCCUCUAUGUCAUUAUGUAUUUAGAUCUCUAAAGGUUAAAAACUAUAAAACGUGUUCGAUUUAUAAGUUUUGUGGGCAGAUAAUGUUUUGUGGGCAGAUAAUGUUGACAAUAAUUAUUUAUGAAACAUAACCUGGGAAAACACUGGAGAAGUUUAAGCCUCUUUUUACAGGGAAUCGGAUGUACAAAAAUAACCAAGGUGAGAAAUGAAGGAUCCGUGAAUGCGAAUUCUGAAUCAAGAUCUUAUCUUGAAAAGAAGCUUGUAUUUUGUUUCGGUUCACAUGUUGCAGCACAAAUGCUACUACCUUUUGGGGAAGAGAACUUUCUUUCUUCUUCAGAGUUAACGCAGUCACAGGAGGUUGAUUCUUUUCUAUGCUUGAUCUUUAUCUAUAAGAAGCAAAAAAUAUCCUGAGGAUAUGCAAUCAUAACUGCUUUUCUGUUUUCCCCCUCCCAUUUUUGCAACAGAUUGCUACACGGAUGGUCAUUCAGUAUGGUUGGGGGCCUGAUGAUAGUCCUGCAAUUUAUUAUCACACUAAUGCGGUAUUCUUCUGUCUUUACAUUCAAAAUUUGGUCAUGUGAUAAAGAAAUAGAUAUUUCUCAUGUGUCGUCCAGUACUGUGUACAUUAUUUCUUAUCCUUUUAUGAUAAUGGAGGGCUACCAUCCUGCAUAGGUAUGUUUGUUAGUUCUGAACUUCGGAAAUUGUUUUUGCUGUCAGAGCUAGCUCUGCUGCUGUUCUACUCUUCUGCCUUGUGCAGUUUGGUUGAUAAAUCUUGUUUAUUCAUCUAAAAAUGUAUUUCUUUUAGCUUGCAUUUCUUAUAAAAGAACUGUUUUUUUCAUUUAAAAUACAUUCAAUUGUAAUACUUGGGGAAGUUAUUGGUUAUGGACGUGGGACAGUUCCUUGCCAAUCUUGUUAGAAUGAGGUAGCAAGCAGCAAUGUUUUCUUUGCACUUCCAAAUAUGUAUCAAAUUUCACCCCUAGUUGUUUCUAUCUGGUUUAAGGGUUCAAUAGGCUUCUUGUUUAGUGAUAGAUUGCACGUUCUCAUUGGCACAGGCUACUGCUUUAAGCAUGGGGAAUAACCAUGAGUAUGACGUGGCAGCUAAAGUUGAAAAGGUAUGAAGGACUAUUACUCUUAUUUCUUACUAAUCAAUUAGUGAAAUAUUGGUUGAUGCAGCUUAUCUAAUAGUGUCUUCAUAUCCCACAGAUAUAUGAUUUAGCAUAUUAUAAAGCGCAAGAAAUGCUCCACAAAAAUCGUCGAGUUCUUGAAAAGAUAGUUGAGGAGUUACUGGAAUUUGAAAUCUUGACUGCAAAGGUAAAAAAAUCUUGAUUUUGAAUUGGCACAUCUCUUAUUUUGACUGGUACCUUUACACGUCCUCUUUUAUCCAAUAACUUUAAUCUCCAUCUAUCCAUGUUGAUUGACUUAGUUGUCUGAUAUCGGCAAACUACAAACGACAUUUAUUUAUUAUUUAAUAUUGAGAUCCACUCUUCUUGGUGUUGGCAGGAUUUGCAAAGAAUUUUUGAAGACAAUGGUGGUGUUCGGGAAAAAGAGCCCUUUUUUCUUUCUGGAUCUCAUGAUAGAGAGGUAUUUUUAUCUGUCAGUACUGAGUGAACUAUAUGCUGUUAUUGGUGCCAAAAUUUGAAUUUCCUUUUUGCUUAUUGUAUGAAGUUUUAUCUGUCAAUUUUGUAGUUAGAAGUAGCCCUACUAUCAUUAAUUAGAAGAAGAAAGUAUUUCUACAAAACUACCUCUGAGCAAUAAAUUCAUUUCAUCUGUAACCUAUACACUUCUCAUUAUAUACUUAUGAACUGGGUAUCUCUCUCUCUCUCUCUCUCAUUUUUUUCCCUUAUCUUCCUUUUUUCCAGCUACAAUCCGGCAGCUUUCUUGAAGGUGGGAAUGUAUCAGGAACUGCUCUUUUAAGUGGAGCAGCAUAGAUUUCCGAGGAAUAGACAGUUGUAGAACCAAUACAAAUUUUUUGGCUCUGAGGUAAAAGCCCUCCUAUUCACAAUGAGAUUCAAUGUUUGUUUGUAGUGCAAUAUGGUCUUCCUUGUCCUCAUGUCACAUGGUUUUUGUUUUUUAGUUUUUUGGCAUAAGAGAUGUAAGCCAGUUAUAGAGGAAAUAGUUGUGGCUUGAGAAGAGGCAACAUUUUUCCUUCUCAACCACCAUUUUUCAUUAUACUGUGAUUGGAAAUCCUCAUUGUAUUUCCUUUUGUCAACGUUGUAAUUAAAAUUGUUAAUAGAAUGAUUCAUUUUGAAAGCAUUCCUUCUGUUUACUACCAGUGUUCGAAAAAUUGGCCUAGGCGGCCGCCCAUAUACUAAAACAUAACCUAAUUGUGUUUUUAUUUCAACCCUCUGCUUUAUAUCAAGUCAUAUAUCUUAUGACACACAUAUACAUUUUAAAAAAAUUAAUUUUGUUAAAAAUUAAUAAUACAAAAUAUUUUUUAUUUUAUUUUAAGAAACCCUAGGCACUAGGCACUAGGCCCCUGCCUGCCCGCCUACUGGCUAGCGAUUUUUCGAACAUUGUUUACUACUAUUACCUUGAUAGUAUUUGUGUACUAUUUUAGCCUAAAUGCCUAUAGUACAAUAUAUUCGUAGAAAAGAGAACAUUUCUUGGCGGGGUAAAAAGAAUUUUCAAUUUAAAUUAAUGUAAGUUUUUUUUUAAUGAACAUUCAAUGGCAUAUCCUGCUAUGAAUGCGUGGUAUAAAUUUAAGUACAAAGAAAAGAGAAAAUGCAUUUACAUGAAGAAAAUGAUACUUGUAGAAAAAACCAGGAGAACAAAUUCCUACAGAAGCCCCAUGACCGGUGAGGUGCUAAAGAUAGGCUUCUCUUUGCCAGUUUUCUGGCCCCUGCUCUCACAAAUGCUUUUCCUCCUUGGUUUUGCCUCUCCAAGCAUUGUUAUGAUAUCUCUCAUGGAUGGCCUGUCUUUGGGGAGCUUUGCAGUACAAAGAAGUGCGAUUCGGAGGACGAGAAGCAUUUCUUCCUGGACAUGCUUGCAUUGACCAGCUAUGCUAGCAUCCAGUGCUUCUUCCAAGGCUUUCUUGUUUCUCAUCUUCCUUCGAACCCAUUCCACGAUAUCCACAGCUUCCCCGAAUGUAGGGUCUAAAGGCAUCUUUCCAGUUAUAAGCUCUAAAAGAACUACACCAUAGCUAUAGAUGUCAGUCUUCUCAUCAACCUUUAAGGCGUAUCCAUAUUCUGCCACAUAACAAUAGAAGUUAGAAUUAAUAGGGCUAACUAGUUUCGAUAGUAUGGUUUCUGUUUGAGUAAUUAAAAAAGGUUCUUGGUAACUAACUUACCAGGAGCAAUAUAUCCGUAAGACCCAGCCACCAUUGAAACCGUCUCAUUCUUGUGCAUCAUCAUCCUCGCUAACCCGAAAUCUGCUACUCUGGCGUCAAGGUUUGUAUCCAACAGAAUGUUGUUCGAUUUGAUAUCUCGGUGGACGACUGGUGGCUGACAGUCAUGGUGGAGAUAAUUCAAACCUUGUGCAACACCCACUGCUAUAUUGUAUCUUGAAACCCAGUCUACCAACAACUUUCCUGCUUGUUUUCCAUGCAAUGCAGUCCCAAGGUUCCCAUUUGGCAUGAAAUCAUAUAUCAUCACCACAUCGGUUUCGUUGUGAAGGUACCCUAGUAACCGUACGAUGUUCCUGUGCCGGAGCCUGCCCAAGAGAUUCACUUCACCAAAUAGAUCAUCCCCAUUUUCAAUGUCUGUCCCUGGCCUCCAUAGCUUCUUAACUGCCACAACUGAAUGUGGCCGAUGGAUUUCAGCCUUAUAAACCACCCCACUCCCGCCCAUGCCAAUGAUAUUUGAUUCUUGUAUGCAAGCAAGAAUGUCAGCACUUGUGAAGUUAAUUCUCUGAAAUGCUACUAGCCUCCAAGGCCAUUCUUGAUUGGUAGUCUUAAACCAGUUGUUAAAGCUGUUAUACGAGUACCACUUCCUAUAUACCCAUCUCCCAGCGAAAAAUGCAACGCCAAGACAUGAAAUUACUGAGAUUCCAAUGAUGAAUCCAGUGAUGAUGUGCUUGAUGUGCAUGUUUCGAUGCGGACCUGCUGUUGCAGCUAAGCUUUGAGGGCAUGGUGGAAGUAUGCCUCCACAAAGACCAGCAUUGCCUAUGAGAUCGUUAGGAUUGAUGGUCAUUAACAUACCAUAUGCUGGUACUGGACCCUCAAGUCUGUUGUAAGACAAGUUAAGCAUCUCCAAGGCUGGUGAACUUCCAAAGCUUUCAGGGAUUUUACCAACCAAAGAAUUGUUGGACAGAUCAAGAAUGGAUAAUGUACGCAUUGUUGCUAUCGGUCUAGGGAUUUCCCCAUUGAACUGGUUAUUUCUAAGGUUCAGAUUUACCAGCUUCUCACAAGAAGCUAUGCUCUCUGGAAUUUUUCCAGAGAUGUGGUUGUUUGAAAUAUCGAGCACUGACAGCGACGGGCAAUCUUGGAACUGGUCUGGGAGUUUGCCUUCCAACUUGUUAUUGGAAGCCAUGAAAGUUUGAAGAUUUGGAAGGGAAAGAAUGCUAGAAGGAAGAGAUGAUUCAAGGUGGUUCCAAGAGACAUCAAUGAAGGAAAGAGAUGCAGACAAAGCAAUGUCCACAGGAAUUUGACCAGUAAGAUUGUUUUUAGCCAAUUCUAGCCUUUGAAGAAUAGGAAGAUUUCCCAGACCAACUGGCAUGGUUCCUGAAAUAAGAUUGUUUUGCAUACGAACACGAACCAGUGAUAAACAAGUUGAAAGACCUACUGGAAUUGGACCAGAAAAGGAAUUGUUGAAGAGGAUGAGUUUUGUGAGAUUGCCAGAACUACACAAACCUGGUGGGAUAUCACCUGAUAAUGAAUUUGAUGACACAUCUAACCACUGCAAUGGGGAAUUCUUUCCAAGGUUCACUGGCAAAGGACCUGUCAAAGAAUUCUUCCAUAGCUCAAGUACCUCUAAGUUGGGUAACUCGCCAAGCUUGUUAGGAACUGAACCAGUUAGUCUAUUGCACAUUAAGUUCAAAAGCUGCAAAUUCAUCAACUGUGCAAGCUCUGCUGGAAUCUCUCCUGAAAUCUGAUUAUCAGAGAGAUCCAAAAACACCAGUGAUGUAAUGUUACCAAAGUCUGGUGGAAUUUUUCCUGUAAAAUUGUUUUUGUACAAAUAAACUGUUGUAAGUUUUUGUAGCCUACCCAAUUCAGGUGGGAUUUGACCACUGAGAUUGCCAACUGCCAAGUCAAGAUACUGAAGAUUGGUAAGAUUGCCAAACUCUGCUGGGAUUUCACCUUCAAACGCAUUGUAUCCAAGAACAAUAGUCUCUAAAGAGGAAAGCUGGCCAAGUUCUCUUGGAAGGUUUCCAGUGAGAUUGUUGCCAGAGAGGCCAAGAAACUUUAGCUUCUGCAGCUUCUUGUAAGAUGCAGGGAUUGAACCUUCGAAGAAGCUCCCUCUGAAAUCUAGGCUUUCAAGGGACGUGGCAUCUCCAAGAUCCUCUGGGAGAAAGCCUGAGAAGUUAUUGCUUGAUGCAUUAACUGAAGUCAGUCCUGAAGCCCUUCCAAGACCAGUUGGAAAAUCACCAACAAAGUAGUUUUGACUCACAUCAAUGGUAUUCAGUGAGGUAAGACCAGAUAGCGAUUUUGGCAACGAUGAUGCAAAACCAUUACAAGAAAUGUUGAGAGUAGAAAGACUGUGUAAGCCUUGAAUGUGAUCGGAUACAUGGCCGCUGAGGUUCAUGUUGGAGAUGUCCAGCUUCUCUAUAAAGCCUCUGGAGUUGCACAUAACUCCAGUCCAGUUACAAUGGGGUGAACCUUCCUGAACCACAUUGCUUGGAAUUUUCCAAUCUUUGAGGCCAUCCAUUGGAUCAAGAAGACUAGCUUUGAUUGAUAGUAAGGUGGAUAAUUCCUCAUUCGGCACGGUUUGAGCUCCCUGAGCCUGAGCAAAAACAAGAGAGAGGCCAGUGAAACAGUAGAAGAACAUCAAAAGGGUUGACAUGUUUGUUGUUCUUCUACCUGGUAUGUUCCUAUCCUAGCUCUUAACAGAAUGGUGGCAUUUUCUGGGCUUUUGGAACAAAGGGAGGAAGAAAGUGUCAAAGACACAAGAGAAGAGAGAGAGAGAGAGAUUGAGAGAUUGAUUAAAUGGGUUCAGUUUUGAUAAGUAAUAAUGACAGAUUGGGAUUAAGUUAUUGUGAAUACGUGGGUUCUUGGGAUCAGUGGGUAGCAGCUAAUCUAAUUAUAUGAAUCCUAAUGACUGUCAAGGUUUGGAGUUAUUGGAAAUCUCUGAGACAGCAAAACAUGGAGAGAAUGUGUUUCCAGGGACUGAUGAUAAAUACUUGCAUAUUCUUAUAAUUGAUCAUAGUCAACUCAGACUGGUAUUAACUAAUAAUGGUACUUGGUUUCCUCCUUUUUUCUUGUAAUUUAUUUUGAAAAACUGUACUUUCAUCUUCUGUUUAAUGUCCCAAGAGAAUUAGCUCCUCAGCAGCUUAUUAAUUACUUGGGAAAACACUGACAUGCAUAUGCUUUUGUAGUUAUUUUAAUAAAAUAACUCCCAUUUCUGGUUUGUCAAGGCUGGUUGUGCAUUUAACUUAUAAGCAGUGAAUCAAUCAAGGAUUGAAUUAAUAUGCUUUUUGGGUACUGGUCCUGGACAUGGUUAAUUUGGGCAGAUGAGAAUCUCUCCAGGUUAUAACUUAUAAGAUGUGGAAAAACAGUACAUGAUAGACAACUUGGAACUUUCUCUCAGAGAGAGAGAGAGAGAGAGAGAGAGAGAGAGAGAGAGAGAGAGGAGAUAGAUGGUGGGUCUCCAUGAAAAAGGAAAGAAAUGUUUUCUUACAAUUCAUUUUCCUAACUAGGUCACCAAAUACCAGUCCCUCCCAUAAAACAAUGUCUGAAGCCUCCACAACUUCACAUGCACUGAUCUGGCUCUUUUGCAAUAAUUUAUAUAUGAAUCAAAAAAUAAUGCAAUGUAAAUGUACAGAUAAACAAAUGAAUAUUUGCAAAUGCGUUUAAAUGGAAAAUUAUUAGACAAUAAUUGAAUUGAAAGCAUAAAAAAGAUGGAAAAGCCAGGAGGGAGGCCAUGUGAAAAGGGCAGCUUCCUUGGGAAAGGACUGAAAAUUCUUAUUAUUAUUUGCAAUGCCAUGGGAAUUAGGACAAACUGCCACUAAACAAAUAUGUAUAUGGGCCUUUUACUUUCCAAAAAUAUGUAGAUAAUGGAUGGAUAUGGAUCUUUUGUUGUGUAUCCAUUUCAGAAUCAAUGAGGGGGUGCAUGAUUAGUUAGGUGCCCCCACAUGCCUACCCCAAAAAACAAAGCCAGUGAAGGCCGCCACCACCACCACCAUUAAUCAUUCAUCCAUUCAUUGAUUUUAUCAAAUCCAUUACACACACAAAAUAUCAAAGAUGGAAUCAAUCAAAUUCAUUUGUGGGCACCAUAUGACAAAAUAAUUUUUUUUUAAUACAAAUAAUAGUCUAACUUAUUCUAAAAUAAGCUAAUAUAAAAAGAGGAAGAUUCAAACUUAAAUGCAAAGAGGUAGGCUCACUGUCCUGAUGAACUAGCCUAAUCGGUUUUUUAUGAUUGAGGAGUUUGGGCCAAGUGGGUGUUGGAGCCUGCUUCUCUUGGGUUUGAGCUUGUAAAGGUCCAGGAAAAAUCAGGUACUGUGUGGACAGACCUAACAGACUUCUACUAUGGUAGUGGGCCAGGGUAAAGUUCACGAAGCCCAUUAUGGGAAUUAGAGUCCGUACUAUGUGGACCGACCCAACUGCACUCUCUCUCUCUCUCUCUCUCUCUCUCUCUCUCUCUCUCUCUCUCUAGACGUGAAAGUGAGCUAACCUAAGCAGACUACUUCAGCACCGAUGGACUUCGUUUAGGUGAAAAACAACACGUGGUUUAUCUACCACUCGAACCAUUUUGUCCCGUAUAUCUUGACCAAAAACACAAAAGUAAAGGGUUUGAAAUCAAAAUCCUCCCGAGUAAUUAAUUUAUGUGCUUUCUUUUGGCAGUUAGUUGAAACCUGUUGGGUGAUAACCAUGAAUACAGAGAGCCUUGAUGAGGAGGAGGAGAUGUUGGAAGUAUAAGAUUGUCCUCAUUUGCAUGCAAUCCUUAAUGUGCUUUUCGCAAACAAGAUUAUCAAAUUAUUAGUUGCUUAGUUUGAAUUAUACGUAUUAAAUUCCAUAAUCAUCCCCAAUCCUUGGAACUGAGUCCCCAAAGAAAGGAAGAUAUCAAAACUAGAAACAACCUUGUAAACCAACCGUAUCUUGUCUACACUAUAUUGUGAGUAUAUAUAUUAAGCGCCACAGAUGAGUUCACAUUUUAUGGAGUAUAUAAUAUCAGACUUGUAAUUCAAUUGAAUUGAAUGUAACCAAUUAAUGCAGCAAAGUUGAAAUUUUAUUUAUUUAUUUUUAAUAUAAGUGAUAUUUUAUUUUAAUCUAAUCGGACUCGUUUGGGAGUGGAGGGGGAUUCAAACUCGGGUAUGCCGAAAAUUAUUAUUUAUAUAUAGCAUUAAUCUAACCUGGGUUUUAUAGAAGCAAGCAAAUCAUUCAAAAUACGAAUCGAUGACCACUAGUAAAAGAAAAAAGAAAUUAUUACACUGGAAAAGCUAACAACAAAUUACAACUCAAAGUUAUUAAUACGGUCUAAUUCAUAGUUCCACUAAAUGAAAUUAAUAACAAGAUAUAAAGUCGGAGUUUCGAUCCCCAUAUGGGGGGAGGGAAGAACAGCACAGCAGAAGAAAGAAACAAUUAAGAAGCGAACAAGUAAAGUAAAAGUAAACAUGAGCCAAGAACCAGACUUGCCGGGUUACAUCUUUUUCUUCAACCCCUUUUGCUUUGGUUGCCUCCUUGUAUUUAUUGCUAAUUGAGAGCAGUAGAACUCAUCUGAAAGCCGUACGUCUAACCAUUCUUAAUUCCAUUUCCAUGGAAGCUGAUGAUGAAGAUCAGCCUCUCUGGACAUGCAUGGCUCUUCCACAGCCACGGCUUCUGUUGAAUUCUUGUGCUCAUCGAUCUCUCUAAGUGGCAUGAUCAUGAUCUUCUUCCUGUGCUUUUGCUUCAACAAACCAAAAUUUAAAUUAUUGCUACUUUCUAUUUCUUGUGGACUUGUUGGUAUAUAUACAGAAUACAUAUAGAGAGAGAGAGAGAGAGAAUUUAGGAUAAAAAUAAAAUAGCAUAUCACUUAUAAAUAAUAUUGUAUAUAUAAAUAAACUACAAAUCUGAUAGAUGAAGACCUACAAAACUCUUAUUGGUAAAAUCGUACAGGAGAUAUGUCCCAUCCCAUAGGCAGAGAAGCUUUUAAAUUAGACUGUGAAUCUUAGCUGAACCAACUUAUGUGGGGUCCAUUCAUGAGAAAGCUUCAUUUCCUCUAAGCCCUCCAUCUGUGUGUAUUCUUUCUAAAUUUAUAAUGAGUUGGUUGGUGCAUUUGUUGGGUGCCCAAUUCACCACCAUUCAGCAAAAAAAUAUAGGCCCCAACAAUUUUUCUCUUUAAAUAUCAUUAUGGCAAUACAAUCUCUACCUUUUUCUUGUUCAUUCUUAUUUAACAACAACGAUAUCAUAAUGCUAAUGACCACUACUAAGAGUCAUGAAUAUCCCAAGAAUCUAUGCCACCAAUAAUCUUUGAAACAAAAGUUUGACCUUUGUCCUUGCUGUCUCUCAAUAGGAACUUAUAUAUCAUAGUGCUCUCUUUUAGUCUUUGAUCGAGUGGUGGGCAUCAAUGAGGGGGUGCUCUCUUUUAGCAUUCUUGAAAGAGGAGGAUGACCCCCCAAUCUUUUGACCCUUUGAUCUCAAAGUUUUUCAUGAACAGGGUUUCUUUUUUUUAAAUAAUUUUAUUUGCCUUUUGAUGAAUGAUCUUUGGAUUCAUUGAAGAGUGUGGAAAAGUAAAAGUGUUGGCCCUUUCUUUUCCUGAAUAGUAAAGUUAACUUGUAGACUAAGGUUACAAAUCAUGUAUAAAAUCAUGAUAGUUACAGUGGUCACUACAUGGGCCAAUCUCCCCACAAAUAUAUAAUAAUUUUGUCACGAAUUGUUGAAGUUAUGUGUAUAUAUUAAUCAGAGCGACAAAUAAGCAAAGGGUUUGCAUUACCCUUUCUAACCAUUGAAGAGUGAUAUUGAUUUUUUUAAUAUAAAUAAUAGUCUAAACUACAAUGGGAGAUCGGGAGGCUUUGUACACAUAUUACCAAAGUGUCAUGAGAGUUCGAAUCUGAGACCACUGAUCUAUUCCACUAGGCUAGAUUCCGUCGGUGAGUGAUUUUGAUUUUUGAAUGGCUGAAAAAUGUUUGAUUGGGUCACCAAAAUAGCAAGAAUUUUUAAGGACAAAUAAUGUUAGAAACUAAGUAUUCCAGAGAGACUGCGAAAGGGACAAAUUUUCUGCAUUCGGAUUGUAAAAAAAACUUUAUUUAAGAUUAUUGUCACAUAAUGAUCGGUUGAAGAUGCUGAAAAACAAAUUAAGAAGUGAAAAUGGAGACAAAUAAUAAUUGCUUGAACACGUAUGAUAUUUCUGUCGUUUAUGCAUAACAAAUAUGUAAAGGUUAAAAGUGAGUAAGAUUGAUUCGAUUUGUCUUAAUCUUACCGCCCCAAGCUAAUUAAAUAAUAAUUUGUAAUUAAUUUCACCUUGCCGAAAGUCAUGUAUACGAUGCUCAGAUUCCUUCAUGAGUAAUGCUACAUUUAUCAUAUUUUUAUCCCAUAUUUCUAUAUCACAUGAUGUGGCAUGUCUAUGUUAUAUGUCACAUCAAUUUGUGUAUUUUAAUUAAGACAAUUAGAAAAACAAAUACUGGAAUAAAUUAAAAGGAAAAGAAAAUAUUAAAUAAUUUUAAUUGAUGUGGAAGUCCGCCUCAGCUGCCACAUAAGAUGAUAUAAGAAUGUGGUAUAUAAAUAUGGUAAUAUUAUUGGCUAAUGAGGUAAUAUUAUUUGUGCUAUAUUCAAAGUGUUUAUUGCUCAAUGUUGCAUGUACUUGUAUAUAUUCCACUAACUAGGGGUUGUCUGCUUUUCUAUGCAGUGCUGGCUUCUCUAGUGGCUUUGCCGGCGACCGACCUUUAGACUAAAAAUUAUGUGAGAGCAUAAUAUAAGUAAGUCUCACUUCUAUUAUAAAACGGAUAUAUAAUAUAAUAUAAUAUAAAAGAUAGUUUAAAUUAUAUUGAAUGUAGAUUUCUUACAUACAUACUGUAAGUCAAGAGUCAAAAGAUUAGAGAGUUUAUAAUGUGAGAUUUGACUAAAGUUUCAAAAGGCAUUAUAACCAAUAAGUCUAUAUUAUAUAUUAUGAUCUUUCAACAUAUCCAAAGCAGAUAGUGAAGAGUGAGCAAUUUCACAGUAAAUCAAUCUAAGAGUUUAAUUUUUUAUUCUUUUUUUUCGUGGGAAUGUUUGACUUUGAUCUAACCCAUUCUCUCGAGUUCUACUAAAUUUUGUUACUGCACACAUUAUCUGUCGUAGAGAAUUGCAUGCUGAAUUGAAGUAGUUUUGGUAAAAAACGUGCAUUUUACCGAGUCUUUAAGAUGUGUUCAGAAAACUAAAGUAUUACUAAAAAAAAUACAUACGUACGUGUAUAAGACUAGUAUUAAACUGAAAAAUUCUAAAUUUUUUAUACGAGUAGUAACUCUGAAAAACUAAAAAAAAAAGGGAAGAAUAGAGACUUAGGUAAUGGGCUAAUAAUAAUGGAAAAUGCUUUAACCUAAUAAACGAAAAGCAGGGGAAAAAAAAUAAUAAUAAAAAAGACCAAGAAUAGCCGUGCGGGUGUACUAUUUAAACAAAUUUCCAGUUAUAGCUAAGGGCUAUACUAUUGAAACUAGCAAAUUGAUAUGUAUAAAGUACAAACUAAUGCAAUUAGGAGGGUCCUUUUUUUGAAUUUUUUUAUUAUUAAAUAGUAUAGCCAUUCGCCUAUACCUUUUGAAUAUAAUGUAUUUAAAUAGUAUAGCCGGACAUUUAUACUACGAUUUUUUUUAAAACUAUUUUUUACACGUGGCGCUAUAGGGUCCUCUUUUUUAAAAAUAGUACAGCCGCACGGCUAUACUCCGUGUUAUAUAUAUAUAUAUAUAUUGGGAUCCUUUUUUUCUUUUAAUUUUUUUUCCCAAUUUUCGUUAAUCGAUAAGAGUAGUUAUCCAUUACUAUUAGGCCAUUACCCGAGUCUCUUGUCCCCUUUUAAUUUUUUACUUUUCCAGAGUUAUUAACCGCAUAAAGAAUUUAGCACUUUCACGUUUAAUACUAUAUUAUACACAUACGUAAGUGUUUUUCAACAAUACAUUCAUGUUCUAUACACGUCUCACAUUUUUAAAAAAGAAAAUGUGGAAUAGUCAUAUUGUACAUGUACAUACGUAUUUCUAAUGUUUAAUGCAUGUAUUUUUUAUAAAAUUUGUUGUAAGACACAUAAAUUCACGUUUUAUACAAAUAAUUCUCACAUAUUAUUGAAUAAGAAUAAUAUACGUUAUAAAAAAAAACUAUUACAAUAUUAUAUAGUGGCCAAUUAAUAUCUACUUUGAAUAUGUUGAAACUAGCAAAUUAAUAUGUAUAAAGUACAAACUAAUGUAAUUAGGAGGGUCUCUUUUUCUUUAAUUUAUUAAAAAUUAAAUAGUAUAGCCGGGCGGCUAUACUAUGAUUAAAAAAAAAACUGAUUUUGACACGUGGCGUUUAUUGUUGACACGCUAGGGUCAUAUUUUUUUAUAAAAAUAGUACCGCCGUACGGCUAUACUCAGUGUUUAAAAAAAAAAAAAAAAAGACUAGUUUUGACACGUGGCGGCUAAUCGGUGGGAGGCUUUUUUUUAAUUAAAAAUAGUAUAGCCGCACGGCUAUACCAUUUUAGACGUGGGUGGCAAAGGUCUGUGCGUCUGUUCUUUUUUUAUUUUUAUAUAUAUUGUAAAUAGUAUAGCCGUCUGGCUAUAUUCGAUUUUUAAAAAUGUUUUCAAAAAAAUAGUAUAGCCAGGUGGAUUUACUGGUUUUUUUUAUUUUAUAAAUUUUAAAUUGUCUUCAAUAAAUAGUGUAGACGAGUGGCUAUAGUCUUAUAUAUAUAUAUAUAUAUAUAUAUAUAUAUAUUGGGAUCCUUUUUUUCUUUUAAUUUUUUUCCCUGAUUUUCGUUAAUCGAUAAGAGUAGUUAUCCAUUACUAUUAGGUCAUUACCCAAGUCUCUAUUGUCCCCUUUUAAUUUUUUUUCUUUUCUAGAGUUAUUACCUGUAUAAAUAAUUUAGUACUCACAUGCCUUUAAGUUCUCAUUCACAGCCACUUCCAGAAUCAUAUCACAGGCUUUUCUGGAAAAUUAACAACAAAGCUGAAAUUUUGGCAUGUUUGCAUCAUAAACUGGCACUUGGACUUGAGAUCAUUGCCUUGUGUUGAAUGCACCAUAAUCAAGUCAUAUUUGAUAUGCCCAGAUUAUAGGGUCGUUGAUUGAUUCCUUGUAUAUAUGUCAUUCAAUUGUUUUAUUUCUUUCCUAGAAUAAGACUCUCUCAGUUUGUAUAAAGCUGUAGCUAUAUUGUAUAUUCACAUAUCAAUCAAAUACAAAGAUCUUCUUUACCAAACUAUUUUCGUCAUUCACCAUUUUUACAUGGUAUCAAAGCACCGAUUUUGGUGACUCUAGAAACCCAAACCCCUUUCGCUACAACACAACACAAUAACCAUUUUAAAAAUAUAAAAUUUGUUUCUUUACUUUUGUUUUUUGGCCUACUUCUUUAAUCACUUUGAUUAGUAAUUAUAUGUUAAUUAUUAUUUAAAAUAAAAAAAUUAAAGAAAAAGUCCACAUAGUAAUUAAUUUCUAUUUAUUAAGUAUUUUGUGAAAUCGUUUGGGUGUCUUAAUUAAAUUUCUCCAUAGCCCAAGAGCCCUAUCCAUUACUAUUAGACCAUUAUUCGAGUAUCUAUUGUCCCUUUUUAAUUUUUUACUUUUUCAGAGUUAUUACCUGUAUAAAGAUUUUAGCACUCUCACUUUCAACAAUGUAUUAUACACAUACGCACGUAUUUAUCAUGUUUAAUAAAUGUAUUUUUUACAAAAACUUUAGUACGACACACAAAAUUUACGUAUUAUACACAUAAUUAUCACAUAUUACUGAAUAAAAAUAAUAUAUAUUGAAAAAGGGUAUAGCCGAACGGCUGUACUCAGUUUUUCCCAAUUCAAAAAAUAGUAUAGCCAGGGCUAUACUCGUUUUUUGAAAAUUUAAAAAAAAAAUUGUAUAGCCGACCGGCUUUACCUGUUUGACACGUGGGGCUUAGGCACUGGGCGAGUCUUUAUAUGUAUAUCUACAUAGAUAAAUAGUAUAGCCGCCCGGCGAUACUAUAUUUUUUUAUUUGUUUUUAAAAAUAGUAUAGCCGUGCGGCUAUACGCAUUUUUCCUUUUUUAUUUAUUUUUAAAAAAUAGACUUUACUAUUUUGACACCUGGCCUACUUCUUUCAUUUACUAUACGUAAUCAAGUAUAUCUUAGGCUUUUUAAAUCACUUUGCUUAGUAAUCAUAUGUUAAUUAUUAUUUAAUAUAAACAAAUUAAAGAAAAAGUCCACAAAGUAAUUAAUUUUAAUUUAUUAAGUAUUUUGUGAAAUCAUUUGGGUGUCUUAAUUAAAUUUCUCCAUAGCCCAAGAGCCAUAUCCAUUACUAUUAGGCCAUUAUUUGAGUAUCUAUUGUCCCUUUUUUAUUUUUUACUUUUUCAGAGUUAUUACUCGUAUAAAGAUUUUAGCACUUUCACGUUCAACAAUGUAUUAUACAUGUACGCACGUAUUUCUCAUUAAUUAACCCUAAACCCUAAAUAGUAUAGCCGUGCGGCUAUAUGUGGUCCUUUUUAUUUUUUUUCCCUUGAAUUUCGUUUAUCGAUAAGAGUAGUUUAAAGCAUUUUUCAUUACUAUUAGGCCAUUACCCAAGUCUAUUAUUCCCUUUUGAUUUUGUAAUUUUCCCGAGUUACUACUCAUUUAAAAAAGUUUAGUAUUUUCUAGUUUAAUACUCGUAUUAUACACAUACGUAUGCAUUUAAAAAAAAUAAUAUUUUCGGUUUUCCUAAAGGCUCGGUAAAAUGCACUUUUUUACCAAGACCAUUCCAACUCAGCAUGCAAUUAUCUACGACAAAUAAUGUGUGCAGUAACAGAAUUUAGUAGCACUUGAGAGAAUGAGGUAAAUCAAAGGCAAACAGUCCCACCAAAAAAAUAAAUAAAAAUUAAACUCUUAGAUGGAUUUACUAUGAAAUUUCUCACUCUUCAUUAUCUGCUUUGGAUAUGUUGAAAGAGCAUAAUAUAACAUAGGCUUAUUAGUUAUAAUACCCCCUAAAACUUUGGUCAAAUCUCACUUCUCAUAGUACUACUGUAUUCAAGUAUAUGGUAUACUUUCCGAAAAAGGACAAAAACAAAUAAUGGGCCUAAAGACUGUAGUGGGCCCGGAUUCCGAACUUGUUUAGUUAAAGGGUAAGUGGGCUUUGAUAAAAAAAAAAUGGAUUGCCAAGUGUCUCCUCGGCCCGGAUCAAACUCCUAUUUCGGCUUGUAGGAUUGAUUUGAAGGAGAAGGGCAAUGCCCUUGAUUGGUUACGACAUGACACUAUAGUAGGCCUCAAUGCAGAGAAUCCGUGUUCUACUCUGAAACAAGUUAGACUAUUCCCGAGCCAGGUCAGAGACGUCAAACACAACGCAUGAAAAUGAAAGCAAGCCCAAAUUCAAAAUCAAACCUCUGUUUUGUGUUGUCAACAAAAUCCCAAUCCCCAACUCUUUGAAUUUCUCGAGAAACCUUCAAGUAAUAAAAUUGAAUGAUUAUAAUGAGACUGAAGGUGUGGUUUGUGUUAAUAGCGCUUGUGCUGGCUGCCACGAUUCGACCAAACGGUGCGUUUGAAUCGUCGUCUUCCCGGCGUCAGACGUCGACGGAGGCUUAUGUCACGCUCUUGUACGGAGAUGAGUUCCUACUGGGUGUUCGAGUCCUCGGCAAUUCGAUACGGGACACUGGAUCCACCAAAGACAUGGUGGCUCUGGUCUCGGACGGCGUCUCCAAUUACGCCAUGAAGCUUCUCGAGGUUAUUACUCUUCUUUUGUUUCUUUAUUUUUGGUACUUGCGCAAAUUGAGCUGUGGAGAAUCCAUUUCUAUCUAAUUAAGGAAAGUGGCUGUGCUUAGGCUUAGUUGAGUUUAUGGACUUUCCUUUUUUUCAGAGCGGCAAGUUAGCUAAUUGAGUAUCAAUCAGGUUUUUGGCAUUAACUGAAUUGUGAAGUGAUUUUAGGAAAAAUAAAGGAUAAAAUUUUCUGCUUGACUUCAUUCUAUUAAAGUUCCAGCUGCGGUAAAUACCCCUAAAUCAGAUUGAUUGUAAGCGUGAUUGUUUUGGUAAAUAUUUGUGCAGGCUGAUGGAUGGAUUGUGGAGAAGAUUAGUUUAUUGGCAAAUCCCAAUCAAGUACGGCCGUCGAGGUUCUGGGGUGUCUACACAAAGCUGAAAAUUUUUAACAUGACUAACUACAAGAAAGGUAAAAAUCUUCAAUUGCUUAUUAUCAGAAGUCCAACAGACCUUGUUACGUUCCAGUAUUUGAUUGUUUUAGGAUCUGUCCCACUUUUUCUCUGAUAGCUGAUUGUGUUUCUUAUCUCCUGUGGAAUAUCAUUAUGCAGUUGUAUAUCUUGAUGCGGAUACUAUUGUUGUCAAAAAUAUCGAGGAUCUUUUCAAAUGCAGCAAAUUCUGUGCUAACUUGAAGCAUUCUGAGAGGCUGAACUCGGGAGUGAUGGUAGUGGAACCAUCUGAAACUGUUUUUAACGAUAUGAUGAGACAAGUUUCCACUUUGCCUUCUUACACUGGAGGUAAAAUAACUCUGCAUGUAAUUUUAAUCACUUCUCACUGCCUGUACGGUCUUUCAACGUAAUUAUUUCUUCAUCUGCAUGUCAGUGAGAUAUGUACUAAUGGGUAUGUUUUAUGUAGACCAUAAUGCUUAUAUGAUAUGGAUAAUUGAUCUGAACAAAUAUUAUUCUGACUGUUGGAGGGAAGUUUAAAUGUUUUGUCAAACCCAAGUGUGAGCUUCCAAGUCAAGCUUAUGGUUAGGACACAGAAUUAGUUAAACUUUAUAGUUAUGGUAUGAUGAUGCCCGAACUGUUACUAUUGUAGACAUUGAAUUCAGAUCAAAUUAAAUUGCAUUGUUGUUGUCAAUGCUCCACUGAUUUCUGAUACUUACAUGUAAGUCUGUCAAAAGGAGUUGCUAGAUAUGAGUUGUAUAAACUUGUUAAAUACUCAAAUACAUGCUUAAAUUACCAUUGUAAAUUUGGUCGUUAUGAUAGGUGUAUUAUAUGUUUCUGAGUUAUGUGGCAUCCUUGGGAGAAAGCAUUGAUCCAUUAUAGUUAUUUCGCUCUCUAAACAUUUAUGUGCUUUAUUUAUUACAGGAGACCAGGGGUUUCUGAAUUCCUAUUAUUCUGACUUUCCCAAUGCCCAUCUUUUUGAGCCAAGUUUACCAGCAGAGGUGCGGAAGUCUAGACCGGCUCCUGCAAUGGAGCGACUUUCCACUUUGUAUAAUGCAGAUGUCGGUCUUUAUAUGCUGGCAAACAAGGUGGGUAUGAAUGGGUGUUUGAAAUGUCUUAUUAACGCUGGUCGACUAGUAUAAAUGCUUUCAAUGGCAUGUAUGAUAUCAGUGCCUGCACAAUCACUCCCAAAUGUAAAGUACCAUAGAAUGAGAUGAUAUUUCUAUUGCAUACACUUAAGGAAUAAGAUUUGGCAUUGGAAAAGCUAGGUUUUCAAUACAAAAGAGUGAGGUUAUCACAUUUUCUUGUAUACGCAGGUGUACAGGUGUACACAAGAGUCUAAAGAUGUAAUAAAAGAAACCUUUUAAUUGGUGUUUGUGAAGCUAAUUGGAUUACAAAACUGCUAAAAAUGUCACAAGUUCUGUUGUGCUACUCAGAACCCAUGUUUAUGGUGCACGAUGGAACUCCAAUUCAAGCUGUAAAGAUGUCUUAUAUCUACAAUUUGGAUUGCUAGUAUUUUCUUUAGUUUGUCCUAUUGAACAAUAAGGUGAUGACCCAUAUGAAGUGGCUAAAUGGGAAUGUACUAUUGAUUUGUAUUUGUUAUGCUUAUUAAGUUGUUUAAUCUGCUUGUGUGUUACACUUUCAGUGGAUGGUAAAUGAAAGUGAACUUCGUGUCAUUCACUAUACACUUGGUCCCCUUAAACCUUGGGAUUGGUGGACAUCUUGGCUUUUGAAACCAGUCGAUGUCUGGCAGGUACUGCUUUGAAUUAUUUUAAAUAUCUAUGUGGUUAUCUGCUUUUUAUAUAUAAAUAUUUAUUGUAACUUUUGCAUUCAGAGAGGAUAUAAUCAAUGACUUUCGUUGAUGCUGCAGAAUGCUAGGGUACAGCUUAAGGAAUCCCUUCCAGGAACUGGAGGAGGCAGAAAUCCAAAUGACGCUCUUCUUGUCAGUUUUCUUUUCCUGCUACCAUUUUGUGCUCUACUCUUUUGUUACUAUCGGUUGUUUCUUCAGGUUAGCAAGUACAUGAUCAUUUUAGCCCAAUUUUGAGAAAUUUUUCAUUAUAUAUUUUAUUAUAUAUUUAUUUUUUCUGAAUAUUGGUGCAGUCACAGGAGUACUUUUGCUCGUUAUGUAGAAGCUCGUUGUAUGACCAAAUCAAACACCUUUACUACAAGAUUAGAUCUACGGUGACACUUAAUUAUACUGUUGUUUCUACAUCGUCCUCCAUUAAUCCCAACCAUCAGGUUAGAUCCCAUGUCUCAGUUGUGUUUGUUGGACUGGUCCAAUUUCCUUUCACUUUCAAGCUUAUCUUAUAUAAAAUAGACUAUCUUCUGCACUUUACAAAGUUACGUGGUCGUUAUAAAGUUUUUGUUUGUACUUAUGCUGUGAAACAAUCCUUUAAUGUGAUGCAGACCAGGGUGCCUGUUUAUUUGGGUGGGAUCUCUAUUGUUGUCUGUUUCAUGGCUGCCCUGGUGGCCCUUGCUCUUGCUUUUGCAAUUGUGCCUCGACAGGUUAUGCCAUGGACUGGUUUACUAAUGAUGUAUGAGUGGACAUUCACAAUCUUCUUUAUAUUAUUUGGAGGUUAUCUCCAUCUAAUUUACCAGUGGGGAAAGGGAACAGCAGUGCAAGCAGGAGCCUUGUCCUCUGUUCCUGAAUCAGUUGAUUAUGAUUCUGGGAAAGGUUAGUUGGCUUGAGUUAAUCCAAUGCUGAUGUACUAAAUUUCAUCGAAUUAGUUCCUUGUUUGUUUUUUUUUUAAUUUUCUAAAUUAGUUGAUGGUUUUUGGAUGUGUUAUAGGUCAUCAACGGCAAGAAUCUUUAUGUGAUAGUGCUACACUGUGUUAUGGGCUAGGAAUGGCUUUUCUGGCUAUUGCUGCUCCAUCUUUGCCAUGUCUUUUUGGGAUAACUGCUCUAUUUUUAAGGUAAUUUGCUCUUGCCUGUGCCACUUUUCCAUCUUAAGGAAAAAUAUGAUUCAAAAGGAGGGCUAAGAACAAUUUAUGUUAUUAUGACAUUUAACAGGCUAGGUUUGAUGGUCGUGGGAGGCCUGGCUUUGGCAUCUUUCAUGACAUAUGCUUCAGAGCACCUUGCAACUAGAUCAUUUUUAAGAGGUUUCGAAGACCGAGAUGGAUCGAGAAGUAGGAGCUUUUGUUUGUUGUGUUGACUGGUGAACAAAAUAGAGUAUGUAACAUGUAACUGUAAGAAGUGUUUGAUCCCUUUUGUUGUAACCUAUUUCGCAAGGAAAGGCCCUACCAUUAGUUUGUAAAGUAUUGCAGAAAGCUUGUUGAUCUAUAAUUGCUUGUUAUCCAAGAAAUUUUGUGACAAUAUUCUUUCAGAAACUAUUAAUCAUAAUCCCGAUUCCCAACAUUAUUGUGUACCAUCGGAUUUUGCAGUCUAAGCGAACAGUGAUAUCAUAACACACUGUUUCUUGUUUUGUGGCAAUAGUAAUUAUUAAUUGUUUAUAGCUGAUAUUCAAAAAAUAAAAAGUUGUUAUCAUCCUAAACAAGUUUAAUUGUUAUUAAUUAUUUUUAUUCACCUGUUGUAGUCUUCCUUGUUCACUAUUUAAAUACUAAUUAUUCACUAAAGAAAUAAUAAUUAAAACAUAAUUACUAAUUAAAGUAAUUACAAAAGUCUAGGAUAUUACUUAAUUAUAAAAAAUAAAAAUAAAAACCAUUUUGUACUGUAUAGCCGAGCGGCUAUACUGUUUAAAUAUUAAUAUAUUUUAAGAGUAAAGCCACGCAGCUACUCUUUAAAAUUUUCGUAUAUAUUUAAAGAAUACAACUAGACGGCUAUACUUCUAAAAUAUUUAAAAGAGUAUAGUCCCAUUAAUAUUUUAAACUUUUAGCUGCUAAUAUAUUUUAAUAGUAUAGUCGCACGACUAUAAUAUUUAUAUAUAUUUAAAAAAUAUACUUUUUAAAUAUUAAUAUAUUUUAAAAGUAUCUUAUGAAAGCUGCAGUCUUAAAACUAGAAAAGCACCCCUAAGAAUGUCUGGAUUGGUUGUGGCAUCAAACAGCACAAAGCAAAUGUUUUCGAAGAAACCAACCGCAUAACCAAUGACAUAUCCAGAAUUUGGAAGCUGAGUAGGUAGAAUUUAUACGUUGUAUGAAUAUGGGUAUACAUUCAUAUAAAAAAUUUUCAAAAACUAGGAUACAUGUAUGGCAUUGAUACGAUGAUUAAAAUAAUAUAAAUAACAAAAUUGAUAUUGCAUCCAUCAUGUUAUAAUCAUCCAACAAAUUAGAAAAUAAAAAUAAAAAUGAAUCAAAUGCAUUUUGAUUAUUUAAAAAAAAAACAAUUAGUACAUGUAAAAACAAUUAGCAUCUAUUGCUAAAAAAAACUAGGCUUUAGUGUACAAGAAAUUGGGUGGCCAACCAAUUUUACCUAGUUCAAAAUAAUUAUAGAGAAUUCAAUACCAUUUAUAUCUAAUUACGUGACUCCUUAACACUUUUAUCCCUCUCUCCUCCCCCCCCUUUUUUUUUCUUCUCUUUUCCUGUCUUGUUGAUUCCCUCUCUCUCUUUUCUAUUUUUUUCUUCUUCCCCUUUCUCUUUUUCCUUGGUCUUUUUGCUUUAUCUACCUAUUUUUAUUUCCUAACAAUUUUCGCGUAGGCAGCUACGUACCCAAAACAUGGCUAGAUCCGCCAGUGUGCAUAACAAACUAACUCAUAUUUGUGGAAGGAUGGGCAAGGGCAUCCUUCUUCAUUAUCUAUUAUAUCUUUAGUUACAGACAACAAAGUAUUUCAAUCAUAUAAGAUAAAGGUGAAAGCAAUCUAAGCAAUAAGGUGGAUUUAUGCAAUCCUUGGGGUGAUGAAAAAACACUAACUUAUUGUUUUCAAAAUUCACCAUUGCAUACUCCAUGGUCAUGCUAAUGUCCAGCAAUAUAGGAAACAACAUCAAGAUAAAUGAUCAAAUAUAUUGAGUAAUCUUUAACACACAUUAGACAAGUUUAAUAAUCAGCAAGUACAGUAUCAAUCUAUUGUAUUUGUCAUGAAAAACAAAAGACUUUAUUAGAACCUUAGAAGUAAAAAUCCUCUGAAAUAUGAGAAGUUUAUGUUUCUCAUAUACGUAACAAGUAGCUCAUCAACUAACUACGCAAAUAGAGCUCAUUUCCUAAGGAGUUUGUGCAAUCACAUGAGUUACAUGAACUUGGGUAUGGGAGUCAGACGAGGAUCAAUGCCCAAGUAUAUCACAGGGUUUGUCUUUCUCCGAAAGUCUUCUAUGCAUCUGCAAUUCCCAGUGCCCCUUAUCACUUACAUGUGUCAUGUCUUAUUGACACAUGUAUAAGCAAUAAGAUGAAAUGAAGAGUCCACGUAACCUUGCAACAUUCAUAUCACUCAUAUUUAAUUAUUUAUUAAAGCAUCACUUACAAAGAACUGCCUCUAAAUUUCUAUAUAAAACCAACAAAGUUUGUUGAAACCGCACCAUCAAUCUAAUUCAAGAAUGCCAUAAUUUGAUGUUAUCCAUUAAGAUAAGGCUGACAUUCUAGCCAGGAUAGAUAAGUGAUGCUCGUGUGUGGGCGUAUAAAGGAAAAGGUAUUGCAGGAGCUAAUCUAGCAUACCUUGGUUGGGACUAGAAAUAGUAGCAUCCGCGUGAAGCGAAAAGCAAAGGUAAAGACCCUCUUCUACACCAUUUAUGUUACCCAUCAUCAUGAAAAGAAUGGCAUAAGUCCAUGGAUAGUAACUCCAUGCAAAGGGAGAUAUUCAGAAGAGUAAGAAAAGAGAGCUAAUGUCGCCAAUGACAUAUUAUGCUUACAUAAUUACAUGAAUCUUUGACGUUUAUGGUGAAGUAUAAAUUUGAAUAUCGGUUACAAACGUUACAUUCAACCAUGUCGUAGUCUUUCUUGUUCACUAUAAUUGACCAAUUAGAUUAACCAAACCAGAUAGUAAAAGCAAUGGCAAAGUAAAUUUAUGUUGAAUAAAUGGGGAUGAUUUUUUCACUGUUCUGCUAUGCGGGUAAAAUAUGCAGAUCAAUUACUUUACUUUACUGUUCUUGAUUGAAUGGCAGAGGAUUUAUUCUUUAACAUAAAAGCGUGCUCGUGUUCACUGUGGUUUAAUGGUUCUCCUCCUCCAUAGCGUCCACUGAUUGAAAACACACUUUUACAGUGAAAAAACCAUAUGAUAUGUUUGUAUUAAUUCAUCGUAUUUGUUGUGUAUGAGUUUGAACUAAUUCAUGGUACUCGUGUUUGAGUUUUGUUGUGUAUGAGUUUGAACUAAUUCAUGGUACUCGUGUUUGAGUUUUCCUCUCCUUUCUUUAAUUUUGAAAAAAAAAAAAAAUUAACAAACCAUAUAAUAUGUUUGUAUUAAUUCAAGAUAUCAUGUGUAUGAGUUUUGAACUACUUCAUGAUAUUCGUGUGCCUGGAUUUUCCUAUCCUCUUCUUAACUUUGGCAGAAAAAAAAAAAAAAAUCCAACUUGGCUGAAUUGAAUAUUAUCCUUGUUAAAGUUGUACGGACGCCCCAACACAAAGUGAUUCUUUUUUUAUUCAUCUUCACCACCCACCCAAAAAAAGGUGCAAUUGUAUAAUAUAAUAUAAUAUUCAAUUAAUUGUUGGCACUUACAGAGUUGAACUAAGAAGGAAAGGAAAGGAAUGCCAAGUCAAAGCUGCGAGAGAGAGAGAGAGAGAGAGAGAGCGAUUUAAUUAUAUAUAUUGAAAAGGAAGGCCAGUUUUCCAUUGGGUGAUGGAAGGAAGCUGCUGUUUGCGACUCUGUCUGUCUUCUCCAAUUUGCUUAUCAGAUUCUGAGUUUUGUUGAAGUGUCAUUCAACUAAUCAUCAACCGCAUAACAUACUAUAUUAUAUAUAUUAUAUGUUUAUUUACUUUAUUUAAUUUUUGAUUAGCUUUGUCACUGAGUCUUUGAUGAGUCACGGACCAAUAGAAAUAUCUAAAUUUGAUUGUCUUCCUUUUUUCUUUUAUAUAUUAUAAAUUGCACGUCAUUUUGGCACUAGGUGACAACACAUGGUGACUAACUCAAAAUUUUAAUAAUGAAAAGGAAAUUGAAAUGAUGGAGGAGGGUGGUAGACUUUAGUGAUCCAUCGUCCUUAUCCCAUACUGUGGUAGAUAUAAUCAACUACAAAAUUAAAACAAUAAAAAAGUAAUUAAAUAAAAAUAAAAAGAUGCAGAAAGAAAGCUACAAAUAUGGCCCCCCACUCCCUCCCUAUGUUCUGGCUUUUAUCAUGUUGGACGAAAAGAUUCCAUCUUCCCAAUGAAGGCUCCAUGGUAUCUAUCUCUCAUAAUAAUUUCUUUUCUUUUCUUUUCUUUUUUUCUGCGCAUUCUGUAGAGGAAGCCGCUCUCUGCAACUUUAUGAUAGAGUCCUGCAGAUGAUUUUCUAAUUAAGUUCAAUACAUUAUCCAAGGUGUUUUCUUCUUUUCCUUUAACUUUUCCCAACUAUCUGGAACCCUGCCAUGCCAAUGUGCCAUGCCAUUUAUACUAAUUUUGCUUCAACAUUUGAUCAUGUAUUGCUGCUAUAGCCCCCACGUCCUUGGCUUUUUCAAGAGCUACUUAGAUCUCAAAUCUUGUUUAUUCUAUCUGCUGUCCUCCCCCUAGACCUAGUCACCUAGAGCUAGACAUACAUGUGCCUGCAAAAGAAGGGGUCACUACUUUCCAGUACAUUAUCUUCUGAUCGAUUCUCUCCCUAGCUAGUCUUCAUUAUAUAUUGUGAAGGAAGGUUUUAUCAUGUUCCUUCCUUGCUAUAAAAUAAAAGCUUCAGUUCUAUAAAAAGCUGCUGCUGCGCAUAAUGUGAAUAUAGAAGAAGAAGAUUUUAGAUAAACUUGAGGUUUAGAGAGCUAAGCGGCUAGGCCCUAUCAUUUCAUUCAUGACCCAAAAUCUUUAAGCAGUGUGUCAUAUUAUAUAUAUGCAUAUAUAUUAUGGCUUCUUGUUGUUUGUUAACCCGGAAGACUCAUAGAAAGAGCUAUAUAUAUGAUAUGAGAGGUUGUUUCAAACGUUGACAUUCAUCGCCAGCUAAUUAAGAAUGCUAAUUGCCAGUUAACUGGGAAGAGGAGUACAUGUGCUCUAAUUAAUUUGAGGUUUAUAUAUACAUAUAGAGGUAUGUUCCCUAACGUGCAAUUAUUCUUUGAAAAGAAUCAGACACGCGGUGACGCGGUAGCUUUUUCAUCCAACCACGUUCCAUUAUCUACCCUGCUCAUGUACGUGAAAAAUACUAAACUAACUUGGAAGAUAAAAGAUUCCAGUUUUGAUGAGUAUAAAGUAUUUGUAUGCCAAGCCAACUUAGUAUAGCACUUCUGCGGUGCGGUGUCAAGUCAACGAUUCAUUGAUCAAUGAGAAACAGAGAAAAACCAGAAAACCAGUUGUGUUAUACAACGACGAUCGAUGUCUCUUACAGUGAAGGAGCACACUAGCAAAUGCAUAAUAAAGAUCAAAACAAGGAAAAAAACAACGGAAAUACAAAGUUACAUCUCUUUCGCUGCUCAACCUGGAGGAGCUAACAUUCCACAGUUUAUUUCAUUUUCCUCCAUUAAUUUCUUGGCAAACAAGCCAAGAAUCAGGAGAAAAGGAGUUGGCAUUCGUCCAAACAGAAAUUAAAAGGAAAAGAAAAAAAGGAACGGAGAAGGUCAAGGAAGAUUAAGGGUUGAUAUAUAAAUAUAUAUAUAUCAUAUGUAUAAGCCAAGAAUCAGACUUGCCUGAGGUUACAUUUCCUCCUUAAGUUCAUCACCUUCUUUACUGCUGUAAAUCAGGCCAUGACUGAAAGUUGAGGACCCUAUAUCCUCCUCCUGGUGAGCUUUUGGACAUGAAAGAAUGAUCUUCUUCUCCUCUUGACAUUCUUCUCAUCCACUUCUGAAGCACCAUCAUCGUCGUCAUCGAUCCUUCCUUGGACAAGUUCAGUGAAACCCUAAUUAUUAUUUCUCUCGCAGAAAAAUCAACUUAAGUUGUAGACGAAGAAGAAAGAGGCAAUAGAAUUUUGGGGUGGUUGGGUAUAUAUAGAUGUCUUAAUAUAUAAGUAGCAAUCGGUUGUGGGAGCGGAUGAAACAAAGGUGAAAGGGAAAUGAAUUAGGCCACGUACGUACAUGGGAGGCCCUACUUCACAUGUCUCUAUGUGUUUUACUGAUAAAAGGAAUAUCCCAUUAAGUAAAAAGGACCCCCCCUCUUAUAAUUUAAAGUUGGAAUCUGAGGUGAGCUAUCCAAUUUGGAUCCACAUAUAUACCUAAAAAUAAAAACAAAAACAAUAUUCGUUUAUUUUGUGCUCAUAGUUGGCCAAAACUUACCCAUUGGAUUGGAC
Molecule: long non-coding RNA, 86963 nt
Filed under: Prunus persica (peach)
Lineage: Eukaryota; Viridiplantae; Streptophyta; Magnoliopsida; Rosales; Rosaceae
Description: long non-coding RNA (PPER_LNC006728)
Source: RNAcentral